RNAcentral lists this long non-coding RNA (67176 nucleotides) under Sorghum bicolor (sorghum). Its description in RNAcentral is "long non-coding RNA (SBIC_LNC011583)". Lineage: Eukaryota; Viridiplantae; Streptophyta; Magnoliopsida; Poales; Poaceae. The record is from RNAcentral.
UUUUUUUUUUUCUGCCCACAUGCUCACACACUCCUAUCUAUUAAACUUGUAUGGAAAAAAUAUGCAAACACAUAUUAAAGUGAAACUGCAUUGAGAUAUGUAUUUGUAUAUUUUUUGAUGCGAAUUCAGCGGGUGAGAAAAUGGAGCAUGUGGCGUUUCAUUGGGUACCGGCCGGCAUCCACAGCUGGAAAUCUGGAAUGGAUGCCGGCAUGCCGCCGGGACCGGGCACCAGCAUCUUCUUCCUUCCCAUCGCUGCCCUUUCUUUUUUUUUUUCCCCUUGCGGUUGUGUUGCUUUGCUUGCCUGCGUUUUAACUUGCAGCUGGAUGCUUCUUUUCUUACAUCAGUGGGUUGUGAUGAGUGAUGACAUCAAUGUGGGCACGAUCUAGCUAGCUUUUCUUUCUUGUUUUUUUUUUCUUUCUUGUUCUUCUGUGAGUGUGGGCCGGGGUGGGGUGAUGAAUACUCUGAAACCUUAACUUAAGACCAUUCAAAAGCUGACUUGAUCCGAUUAACAAAUCUCCUGUCUUGAUACAGUUUAGCGGUCACAAAUACCUAGGCCCUAAGCCCCUAAUGUUAGGGGAGUCAGAAAUCUUCUGUCUUGCUAUAGUUUGGCAAUGGCAGGGCAUAUAGUUAUGCAACACGUACAAGUUAAUACUAUCUCUGUUUCUGAAAACUUCAAUUUCUAGAAUUAGUGUUGGUCAAACUUUUAAAAUUUUGAUCAACUUUAUAGAAAAGAGUAUUAAUAUCUAUGACAUAAAAUGAAUAUCUUAUAAAAAUAUAUUCUAUGAUAAAUCUAAUGGUACUAUAAAUCUUAGCAUUUUUUCUUAGAAAUUUGGUAAAGUUUGACCAAAGACAACUCUAUAAAUCGAAGCAUUUAUUUACAUGCCCAUUUCCACCUAGCUAGCAUCUACACAUUUGUAUAAACAAUCGGAGAUGACUUAUUGGAUGUCAGGUUGUAUCUAUACUUUCAUAUCAAUCUCACAUGUUAGGCAAGUUGCAUUCGCUCCUAUAGGUAACCAAACAAUAUUUUGGUUUUUCUUCUCUUUUGCUAAUGCAACCUACCAAACAGAUAUUCAGAAUACGAUUUCACUCAGUAUGCGUCAUGAUAUAUACGAUGCAAUCUCUAUCCGGCAAACAAACACACUCAAAGUGGACUCAUGGACUACACAAUACAAUUUUUAGUCCCAACAUGGGAGUAUAGGAAAAAUGACACACAUCUCGAUAUAAGAAAUCAACGCAGAAAAAUUAUGGUUCCCCAAAGUUACCGUCAGGAUACUAUUUUUUCUCGUACGGUCCAUCCAUAACAAAUUAUUGUUCAUUGUUCUGAAAAGUCAUGGCUAAAAGUAACGUUCGUUGAUUUAUUGUGAGAGAAUAACACUGUUGAAUUCGAGACUAUCAGGUGGCUCGUGCCAUUAGGGUCAUGUUUGCUCGUAGAUCAUGAGGAGGCAGCUUAACACUUAGAGCAAAACCAGCCGAGCUGCCCAAGCACUGACCUCCUUGUGCCAUGUACGUACGUGUAUAUAAUAGUCCUACUUCAUCUCUCCAUGCACAUGCACAGAACAAUAUAAUCACCCUCUUGAUAAUUUCUCUCCGAGUAUAUAAGUCUCUGCUACUUUCAGAUCAGAGCGAUUGAGAGCUUCAUGUUGUUGAGUCAAACGGCGAACCUUCAGAUUCUGGUGUAAUCGCCAGGAAACUUGCACUCAUUUUCCUCACCACAGGGGCGGCUGGCCUGGCGUGUAGCUUGGAAGUUCGCAACUUGCAAGCCGGCCGGCCGGCCGGAGGAGCCGACCAUGCAUUUCUUAUCCUUGCAUUGUGAACGAAUGAGCUCCCCAACUUGCAGCAAAAAGAGGGGAAUCGUCGAUGAUGUUUAUAUAUCGCUUAAAGGCUAAGAGACUGAAAUGAGGAAGAUAUAUCCGAUUCUCUUGGUUCUUCGAAAAGGAUAUUGACACUAACAUGAACCAAGAGGAUUCCUCGCACGUUGCCGUGGAUACAAAGACGAAAGAAUACAAAUAUGUUAGAAUAUGUAUUGUCUAAUUGGACAGCUUGUAUGUUCGUAGAAAUAGAUGAUUUGCUAAGGUAAAUAUUAUAAUUGUUUGAGCUAGUGAAUUUUAAUUAUGUGUGAUAAUGGAUUGUCUAGUUAGAUAGUUUGCAGUUGAGAGAAAUAGUUAGCAGAUAAAAUGGUAUUCUUUUUUGUACCCAUCCUCGUGUCUAUGGGCCAAGUAAUUAGAAGGGACCCUGCGCGGCCCGUUAACCCGUCCGGGAGCUGAGAGAAGAAUCACACGCCGUUGUCUGAUUAUCUAUCCAAUUCCACCGAUUACUAGUGAUAUCGAGUUCCUCAUUCAGUUCGGUAACAGCGUCUUAAUUACCUUCGGAUCAAUCGGCAGAGAGCUUUGCGGCUCCAUGUCCUGGAAUCGCCACCUUCUGGAGCUGUGAAAUGAAUCCCCUCCUGACGGCGGCCAAUGGCCUGGUCACGCCUGGUAAAAUUUAUUUUGCCGUUAUGGGGGCAUGUGUCCUGACUCUCCUAUUUAUUAAAUUCAUGAGAUGUGUGUUUGCACACUUCUCAAAGCAAAUUCAAUAGCUGAAAGAGUGAGGGCAUGUGCAUAAAAAAAUAGCUCCCCAAUUGAAUUGGAAUAUUCUCAAUAGGCAAGCCUGAUAAGUCUAAUACUGUAAGGUACUAAAGUGACUAAAGUUAAUACUAGCUAAAAUUUAGCAAGGGGAAGCAAACAGAGCCCUAGUAUACAAACUCUCAACGUGGAUCCAAUCAGCAAAAAUAUGCGGAUUUUGUCCAUCCAACGAGUAAAAAGGAAAAGGAAAAUCGCACGUGACGGAGGGGCGAGCGGGCUGCGGGCUGCCCACGUAAGCGGUUCAGAGAGCGUGGGCCCAUGAUGUUGGCCCGGGGCAGGCAGGAGAAUAAAUGGGCCCCAACGGCCCACGAGCAUCCCCGCAGACGUUCCUGCUCUUUCUCGCCAAGCACGGAUGCUCCAGUAAUAAAUCUCUAUGUUUUAAGUGUACUUAUUUCAACAAAGAUCGAUCCUUAAUUAACCAGGACAUAAGAUUCACUACGAAGCUAGCUGAUCAGAAAUAUAUUUAAGCAAUCAGCCUACCCAUCCAAAUUACUGUAUUUACAAGAGACCUCUUCAUCGCAAACGCAAAGACAAGGUAAAUAUAUAUAAGCUAGUAACUUGCUAGACUACGUUGGCAAAUUAAAGAACAAAAACCUACAUCCGGAUCUUAUAAGAACUUUUGUUUGAGACUAGCUAGAUCGACUACGUUGGACAUUUUAAUGAUUUCGGCCAACAGCUGGGACGAUCUAACUUGCUACAUAUGCCAAGCUAAUUAACUUGCAAACGUAUGUUUGGGAGUAGCUAUAGCUAUCUAGACUACGUACGUCUACGAUUGAAGGAUGAGAAAUUUAAACCCUGUUUGGUGACCUUCGUUUGGCUCUUGUUUGUCUUUUAUACACCAUAGUAAGAAGCUGUUUUUAAUCUCUACUCUUGAAAUAAAUUACUCCUUCUAUUCCUGAAAGCUUCAACUUCUAGAGUUUUCCUAAAUCAAACUUUUAAAACUUUGACUGAAUUUCUAAAAAAAUACACUAAGAUUUAUAGUACCAAAUUAAUAUUAUUAGAUUUAUCAUAGAAUAUAUUUUUAUAAGAUACUCAUUUUAUGUCAUAAAUAUUGAAGUUUUUUUCCUAUAAAGUUAGUCAAACUUUAAAAAGGAUUUGAAUGACACGAAUUCUAAAACUCGAAGCUUUCAGGAAUAGGGGGAGUAGAAACUAGUGGAACUAUAUAUUUUUUCACCAGAGUCAGAGCCGUUUGAAGCCAUGCCAAAUGAGCCUUUAAUAACAUAUGAAUUCUAGGCAUGCAAUUCUAUGUACUAAUCUACACAAAUGCUUGUCCAGAUUCAUCAUACCUAGAAUUACAUUUGUUUUGGGACAAAGUGUAUAUUCUAGCAAGAGGCCUGUCUCUAUCUAUCAUCACUUUGGCGUAGGACUUGACUAGGAUAAUUAAAUCAACGGAGUGCGUGCUACUUGGGAUGAUUGAUGGACAACAUCUUGAUGAGUCGAUUGAGAUGGACGGGCGAAAGCAACAUGGCACUGUCUGUUUGUGAGACGACGAUGACUCAACUGUGGCCACUACUAAUUAAUUAACCAUAUGCAUGAUUCUGUGCAAACACGUCCCGCUGGAAUUUAGAUCCUCUAGUAAUAUCAUACAAAUAUCUUAAUAUUUGUGUCUUAAUCAAUGGUUUUCAAAUUCAAAUAAAUUUAUAGCAAAAGACCGCUAACUUUUAUAAACGUCAAACUAACACUAGAUGUUCCAUGAAAUAUAUAAAAUUUAUUGUUAAAUUUAUUUUAGAAUAACUCUAGAAUUUAAUUUAUCUUGAGAUAGAGGCACAUAGUAGCGCUGAUACUUAUGUUUGUAUUCAUAUUGACAAAGAUUAAGGCCAUGUUAGGCCUUGUUUAGAUCCGAUUUUUUUUGGAUUUUGACACUGUAGCACUUUUAUUUUUAUUUGACAAAUAUUAUCCAAUCAUGGAGUAACUAGGCUUAAAAGAUUCGUCUCGCGAUUUACAAACAAACUGUGCAAUUAGAUUUUGUUUUCAUUUAUAUUUAAUACUUCAUGUAUGUGCCGCAAGAUUCGAUGUGACGAAGAAUCUUGAAAAGUUUUUGGUUUUUAGUGUGAACUAAACAAUGCCUUACUUGAGAUCCCGAUGGCUCUCUUAAAAAUAGUCAAUAUUUUCUGAAUUAUAUAGUAUGAACGUGCAGGCAUUAUAUUUAGUGUGCCAGAAGGUACAACCUUCUUAUUUUAAAAUUCGUCAUUACACCUAGCUAGCUAGGAGUUUCUUUUAAAAUGGCUGUGAUAGUAUGAUGCAUGCUUGCCCUUGGUUCACGUUCGAGGCUUACGUCACUAGAUGACGAUUUAUACAUAUGUAAUGGCCUGCCUAAUGUAUCCCUCUGUGGCUUGACUUUCUAGAAUCCAGGUAAGCAUGUAUUAUUGGUGAACAUCGAAACCAGAAUUUUUUUUCAACAAAAAUGUGAAUGAGCACGUAUUUUUUAAUUGUAAUUGUGGAGCAAGGCGCCCGAAGGCGGCUCCGUAGCUUAGUCCCAAAGUUUUGCGGUUGACGUCCUUGGUUUCCUUCAGGCUCGUCUCUCCUUUUCUUUUCUAAUUAACGAACGUUAGGUUGGACAUGCUUGACCUUUUUAAAAACCCAUCUUUCGCUAGGACACUGCUCUGCUAUUGAUAUGAAAACCAUUGUUUUAUAGGUGUGCUAUAAUUUAGGGAUGAAAUAGAUGCAAAACUAUACAACUCACUACUACUACACAUUUCAUUUUGUGUAGUGUUUCACAUAAGGGCUCCGAGGCGGGCGUUAGUUUUGCCCGCCACGGUUAUUCAGAGCUGGCCGAAGCCGGACAACCCACACUACAACCGCCACGGUUAAGAAUUAACUAUGACGAGCAAUUUAAAGUAACCGUCACGAUUAAUAUCUAUUAACUGUGGCGGGCAUUGUAGGAUAACCGACACGGUUAAUAAUUAACCGUGGCGAUUGCUUAUAAUGCCCGUCACGGUUAAUAGCUUAUUAACCGUGGCGGUUACGUUACAUUGCCCGCCUCGGUUAAUAGUUACAACAAAAAAUAAUUUAUAACUUUUUCAUAUGAAUUCGGAUGAAGACAAACUUUAUAUCAAAAUUGUAGCCCUCGACGAGAUUACAACUUUGUAGUUGAAAAGUUUAUGAAUUGAAACUGUUUAGGGUCCAAAAAAUAUCAUUUUAAGUGUGCAGAUUUUGAAAUUUAAAAUUAUCAAUCAAUCUCAGAUGUUGACAUGGUCUAUACAAAAGUUAUAGUUCUUGAUAGAAUCUACAACUUUGUAGUUGAACUGUUUUAAAUUUGAAUAUGUUUAGAGUCUCAAACAUGCGUUUGAAGGUUAUAGAUUUUGAAAUUUAAAAUUUUGAAUUCCUCAAUGAACUCCAAUGUUCACAUCGUUAAUACCAAAGUUCUAGUGGUCCACCUGAUCUACAUGUUUGAUAUUGACAAGUUUUUGAUUUAAAGUCACCUAGAUCAACGUUGGUUCCCCUCCCUCUCCCUUCGAUGAUAAUCACCGGAGGCCAAAGGGCGUGGGGAUCUAUCGUUUUAAUAAUUUUUUUCCACUAGGUCGAGUCUUUAGGGUUAGGGUCUCUCUAUGCAAGUUUUUAUUUGUUUUGGGAUUUAUUUUCUCCUCUUCUUCGGCGACUAUGAGAUGGUAGGGUGGAAUUGUGUUCUCUAUGGCGGCUCCGUUGAAGAUGCGGGAAACAACUACAACGUCGGCAUCCUCAUCGAUUUGAUGCAUGGAGACUUUUAUUUUCAAACGGUGACAUCAAGAUGGAGAUGAUGUCACGGGCAUGGAAUAAUUUUGUCUGGUCUCUUCUCCGUUUUAUCAUGGUUAGAUCUGGCCACGAUGAAAAACUAGGUAGAACAAGUUUUAGAUCAAUCUUUCUCAUUCUUCGGUGGUAGAAAGAAGAAGAAGAAAGACACCAGUGUCGGCGUCUAGACUCGUGGUCUAGACACAAACGAGUAUGAGUAUGCGUGACUACCUAAGCCUGGAUGGUGAUGCAAGUGGAACACAGAGAAUUUAUACUGGUUCGGGCCAAGGAUGCCCUACGUCCAGUGAGAUCAGAGGUCUGUAUUGCCUUGCACCCAAAGGUGCUUGUAGUAGGGGGUACAAGCGGGUUGCGAGAGAGGGCUAAGUCCCAAGUCUCGGCUUUAUGGUGGACAGAGUGCUGGUUGCUACCCUGCGGGUGAGUGUGGUGGUCGUGUGUAUGGAUCAACCUGUCUUGGUUGUGAGCCCCGGCUCCCCUUUUAUAGUCUCAAGGGGGCGCAGGUUUUUACAUGUGCGAUGGGUGAUUUUCCUCCGAUGAGUGGUGAAACUACAGCCCCGACCCUAUAGAAGCUUGCCCAUGCCGUCCUUGAGGUAUGGUUGACUGUAUAGGAGUAGUUACUCCUGUGGAGGGUCGCCGAGCCCUAUUGAAGUCGUGGGGGUCGGAUCGGUGAUACUGCAGCUUGUCCUGUAACAGUGGGAGAAGACAGCCAAUAGUGAUGCUGGUUAAUCUCCCCCAUUUCUCUUUCACUGUGAGGCGGUACUCUACACUGAAAGAGGUAAGGUUGUAUAGUAAAAGAGGUAAGGCUACAGUGACCAGGGUGGUUGGAAUAGUCGCCACCAUGCCCUGCUGCGAUAUGGGAGUCACUGCGCCUGUCACGUCGUGGGUACGGGCGCCGUGCGUCGGAAGUCUUGCCCUGAUAUGAUGGGGCGGCGUUUGGCGCCCGAGCCCUGGAGGGGUCGGGCGAGACGGAACUUACGCCCGAGGCUGAGGGGAUCGGGCGAGGCGGUGUCUGUGUCCGAGCCCCUGGGUCUGACGAGACGGAACUUGCGUCCGAGGCCCUGAGGGGUCGGGCGAGGCGGAGCUUGCGUCCGAGCCCCUGGGUCGGACGAGACGGAACUUGCGUCCGAGGCCCUGAGGGGUCGGGCGAGGCGGAGCUUGCGUCCAAGGCCCAGAGGGUCGGGCGAGUUGUGGUUUGGACCCGAGGCCCAGGGGGUCGGGCGAGUGGUGGUUUGGACCCGAGGCCCAGGAGUCAGAUGAGCUGGGGCCCGUGCCCUGGUGAUUGUGGUUAACUUGCUUUGUUCUUUGCGUUUUUUAUUGCUCUGAUUUGGGUAUCCCUUUUUAUGGUACCCAACAACCAGAAAAGAAGAAGUUUCUCAACUCCGCCUACAUGAAUGUUGGCCGUCGUUCAUUGGACAUCUGUUCUUAGGCCUUUCGCCGAGUGUUUACUAUGCAGUCAUCCAUAAUACAAAGUGUCACACAGGUUUGGUUUUGAGAUCUGGAGCUAUUCACAGCUUGGAUAUAAUUUAGAUGAUUUUUUUUGAAUAUUUGUGUAAUCUAGAGUGCUUGUAACGUAUUCAUUUACCUCGCUAUUAUCUAAUUAAUUCUUCUUUCAUUGUAAAAAAAUAUGCAAAUAUACUCAUUUUUAUCAUAACAAGUAUCUACUCUUAUAUUCAAAAGCAGUAUGUAGAUAUACUCAUUUUUCUAUAAAAAAAAGUAUCCACUCAUACUUUCAAAGCAGUAUAUAUUCAUACCUACUACCAAUAAACAACACUUCAUAUAUAUAAUCAUAAAUGAAUUUUAAAAAAGUAUGCAGUCCGUAAUGCCUACACGUGCAUACCAAAAAGAACAGUAUGUGUUUGCCAAAAAUAAUAAAAUAGUAUAUACGCAUACUCUCUUAUAUAUACUCAAUAAUCUUAGAAGUACGUACACGUACUAGUAUACAUGUACACGUUUUUUUUUACAAGCAUGUACACGUUCAAAUAUGUCUAUAUAUGUGUGCUCCGUUACGCUUCUCAGAUGAUUAAUAAAUAAUACUCACGUAUAUACCAAAAGUACCUAUAUAUACGUGCAUGUGGAAUACUUGUGCUUGCAAACGACAGAAAUAAUUGGGUUCUACCCAGACCCGUUAGGGGAGACGGGCCGCACCCCAACGUCUCGGUUUCCUAUCCGACUCGCGCUCAGCGGCGCUCAGGGCAGAACUUCUGCUCCCUUCCCCACUCGCGCUCAGCGGCGCUCAGGCUCGGCUCGGCGGCGGCGUCGGCGGCUCCCCCUUCCGCCUCUCGCCAGUCGCCUCCGUCCUCUGCGCACCGGCCGGCGACCCUGGGUACGCACCUCCCUCUCCCCUCCCGCCUCUGCUGUACCGUGGGAGCCCGGCCAGCUGCCCAGGGUGGCCGGGCCUGUGAUUUGGCGAUGCUUUUGAGCUACGGUGAACUGUUCUUUGUAUUUUCAGAUUUGGAACCAAAGAAUUAGAUUUUUCUUCUCAUGAUGUUUGAUUCUUUUAAUUCUUAUUAUUAUAUGGCAUAGGUUUUCCCAUCUUUUCUUCCAUUUUUACUGCUCAAAUUAUGCCUUUGCCCACUGGUCUGCUGGUUAAUUACUCUAUUUAUUAAAUUUCUGUAGAUACAGGUAGCCAAGAAGACAUCACAUGGGGGCGUUCUUGAGCUCCGCCGCCACCAAGGAGGACCAGCAGUGGGUGCACGGCGAGGCUCCGAGACCAGAUUCCUCCAAGAAGAUGCGGCUUUCGACCCCUCUCUGCAGCCACGGCCACCCGAGGCUGAUCCCGGGGCUCCCGGAUGAGAUCUCUAUGCAAAUCCUCGCGAGGAUGCCGCGGAUGGAGUACCUCAAGGCCAAGAUGGUCUCGUGGAGCUGGAAGGCGGCGGUAACUGGCGCAGAGCUGUACCGGCUGAGGAAGGAGCUCGGCGUGGCCGAAGAGUGGCUGUACAUACUGAUGAAGAUGGCAGAUGAUCAGAAGCUGGUUUGGCAUGCUUUCGAUCCGGUUAGCAACCAGUGGCAGAGGCUGCCACUUAUGCCUGGGAUCAGUCAUAGCAGAGUCUAUGGGUUGGGCUUGGGGGAUCUGGUGAGCGCUGGCAUAAGUAUCUUUGACAUUAUCAGAGGCUGGCUUGGUCAGAAGGAAUUGCUAGGCAGUAUACCAUUCUGUGGCUGUGCCGUCGGCGCGGUUGAUGGUUGCCUCUAUGUUUUGGGUGGGUUCUCUAGAGCUUCCACGGUGAAAUGCGUGUGGAGGUAUGAUCCCGCUGUCAAUUCAUGGCAGGAGGUGAGCCCGAUGAGCACCGGGCGUGCCUUUUGCAAGACUAGCCUGUUGAACAACAAGCUGUAUGUUGUUGGCGGUGUCAGCAAAGGCAAGAAUGGGUUAGCUCCGCUAAAAUCCGCUGAAGUGUUUGACCCAGCAACUGGGGUUUGGGCUGAGGUGCCAGAUAUGUUAUUCUCCAAAUCGCAAGCUCUACCGAUGGCCUUAGCUGAUCUACUGAAGCCUAUUGCUACUGGAGUGACCUCGUACCGAGGGAAGCUAUAUGUUCCUCAGAGCCUUUAUUCCUGGCCCUUUGCUGUUGAUGUUGGUGGAGAGAUCUUUGAUCCGGAGAGAAAUUCAUGGGAACAAAUGCCUACAGGCAUGGGUGAAGGUUGGCCUGCAAGGCAGGCUGGAACGAAAUUGAGCGUUGUUAUAGAUGGCAAUCUGUAUGCCUUGGAGCCAGCAACUUCUUCUGGCAGUGCAAAGAUAAAGAUGUACGAUGCUCAAGAGGAUACUUGGAAGGUUGCUGUAAGCCAGGUACCCGUUGGUGCCUUUGCCGAGUCAGAUAGUCCUUAUUUGCUUGUUGGAUUUCUUGGAAAGCUCCAUUUGAUCAUCAAGGAUGUGGGUAGCAAAAUCAAUGUCAUGCAAACGGACUCUCUGGAGCCAUUGGAUUCGCCAGCCCUUUCGGCUGGCACAACAUGUCAAGUCCCAGAUGUCUCCUUGGAGCAGGCAGAUGUUUGGAAAGCCAUCGCGUCGAAGAGUAUCACAGCUGCUGAACUUGUCAGCUGUCAGGUUCUCAGCAUUUGAGUUUUUAAGGUUGAGUUUCUCUGGAUCUUUGUAUAAGUUUGUGCGGUAGAUAUAUUUCUGCCGCCAUCGAAUUUGUCAGGUAACUUCUUGUGGUUUCAACCUGAAGAACAGAUAAUCUCCAUCUUCUGCUACAAAUGUGAUCAGUGUCUGCUGCAGUUCUGCUACAAAUGUGAUCAGUGAACUGCAGAAAUUCUGUCAGCAAUGUACAUAUGUGUGUGCAAUCUGGGUAGUUCAGUUUUGUAAUUGUUUUCUUCUACUCUUAUCUAUGUAUAUGUCAUUACAUAAAACUGAAUAAGGUUGUUGCAGCUUUGUCCAGUUCCAAAGGCAACAGUGCUGAGUCAAUGAACAGAGUAGUCUGAACCCUGUCCAUUGUUCAAACUGCUGUAAAUUCCAUUUUUCAUACCUUUUAGCUUGUUUGGUUUCUCCAUGGAAAGUGUGUGCAAUGAUCAACAAUGAUCCCCUUGAAGAGACAUGUGUUUCCCCCAUCCAGUGAUGCAUUCCAGAACCUGUUGAUCUUUACUCGCAAAAAAAAAAAAAUCCUUUUGGUUAGUCAACUUGAAAUAAAGUAUGCUCCGUUCCUGAGUUGUGCUCAGUCUUGGAUCUGUACAUAUGUAAUAUGUUCUUUGCUCGCUUUUCUUUCUUUGGUGCGACAUGGCACCACAUAAGAGUUUCACAUCAGAACAUUCUAAUGCAAGAAAAUCAGGUAUGAUCUCUGGAUAAUAUUAUAUGUUAUGGCAUCUUAGGAGCAAGCAGUACCAGUAUGAAUCGGAUCCAUGUUAUCAUGAUGCCUUACCAGAAGUUCUCUUUUUUCUUUGGUUGCCGGCUUUCUUGGAACUGUUGCUGGUCAAAAAAAUUGUGAGGCUCUUCAGUACAGCCAUUUGUGAUCCAGACUUGGCGUGUCGUUUUCUGUCUCUCUGUCGAUUGUCAACAAUAACGGCAAACAAGAAAAAAUGUGCAAAGCAAAAAUUGUGGAAAGUGUCUCAUGAUUACGAUGUUAGCAAGUAGCACUAUCACGUCUGCAAGGACUUUGGUUAUUAUGUCGAGGUGCUAGAAGUACUCUGGUUACUUUGACGUAAUGCGAUUGAGUCAAACUUCCUUUGUGAGGAAAAUGAUUUUAAAUUUACUUGUAUUUUUCAAAUUCAACGGGCUAGUUAUGUAUAUUUCAUUUCAUCAUCGUUUCACUGUUUAGGUGAUUUGGAUUGUGACUACUGGCUAGGGCUGAUUACUGGAACUUGAAUGCACGUGCGUCGGGAAUAGUCUUUUGCGGAACAUUUUCAAUAUGAUUACCCAAUUGAGGUACUUAUUGAUUCUGUUUAGAACCUUGUUCACUUCAGUUUAUAUAAUUUACAUUUAAAUUAAGCCUGGUUAUAUAAAGCUGCAAUAUAUAAUGGGUUGUUUCAGAUGCUGGCUCUCCUCAAAUUUGAUGCGUGCUUUUCUGAUUGCUGUGUUUUCGUACACAUUCUUUUGCACUAUGUACAUGGAGACUUUUUAAUCAAUCUGAAGAAGUAGCUUGCCAUGCUACGAAAACAUUGGUGUUGUGUUCUGCAGAUUGGAGUUCAAACCAUCUAUUUCAACAUUUUAAAGGCAUUAUUCUUAUUUUUUACAUUAAAGCAUUGAAGUACAUUUUGGAAAGUGUUUAAUAAAAUUUGAAGAAAUGUUGAGACCCCAUUUAGAAUACAGGUUUUUUUUCUACUUCCUACGUUUCUCUAAAAAGUAUAAACUAAUUCCUUUUUUUUUGCGGAUAAGUAUAAACUAAUUCCUGUGAUAAUCCGGUAUGUUUCAUAUCAAUUCAUGAUUCCAAAGUGCCCUAAAUUUAGUAUUUUGAAAUGUUGACUAGUAGUUCCAAAUUUUACAUUUUACUUUAUCAUUUCAAAAUCUCCACGUGAAUGUUUGCAAACUGUAAUCAGGUUCUGAGAAUUGUUAAAUCAAUCACACCAAAGUUGGCUCGUACUAUCUCGCGGACACGUGGGUCCCUUUUUCGCACGUGCGCGCCGAAACCGGACGCCGUCACGCCGGUGCCGUCGCCGCCAAAAUCCGCCGCGGUUUCGCCUUGGCGCGGCCGCCCACCAUUUCUGCGCGGCCACCCCACAGAAAAGCUUCGCCCAUGCCGUCGCUGCCGACGCCGACGCCGACGCGUCGUCCUCUUCUUCUCUCUCCACCUCAUUCGAACCCGCCAUGGCCGGCUCCAAGCCCCUUCCGCUCCGCCUCGCGGCGCCGCUGGCCCUCGCCCUCCUCCUCGCGCUCGCCCUCGUCGCCAACUUCCUCUGGGCCGCCUCCUCUCGUCGAGUCUCCCCGCUCUCGGCCUCCUCUUCCAGAACGGUAACCACGCCGCCGCGCGCCGCAUUGCUCUCCACGAUCUCACCAGCGACAUGCUCUAUUGCUCUGAACGAAUUUCUCGUUGCUCUAUCUACUCUAACCAUUGCUCCUCUCUCAGGUGAUGCGGAAGCGCGCAAAGGCGGUGGGGCACCUGAACGCGACGUACGCAGACCUGCCGGCGCCGCACUGGGACUGGGAGGAGAUGCCCGCAGCGCCCGUGCCACGCCUCGACGGGGCGUCGGUUCAGAUUGGGAAUCUCCUCUACGUCUUCGCCGGAUACGGGGACAUCGACCAUGUGAGGCACCUUUGUUAGUUUACUAUUGCGUUAUUAUUCCUCUGGACGAUUUCCUUUUAGCAAUGUUUUCACGCAUCACUUAACAAGAUUGAGCGGCUAGUGUAAGUGUUCGGUUGUGCUGGUAAAUAACUAAAAUAAGUCACCAAUCGAAUUAUGAGCUAAUUCCAUGACAUCGAAGCAACCUGUGCAGUAUCUAGCUGUAAGGUUUCAACUUCUCCAGGAAUUUUUUUCAUAACGUUUGGGAUUUAAAAUAGGAGGAUCUGUAGUAAAUGGGCAAGACCAAGCAUUUCUUAACAUGUUGAAUGAUUACUAUUGCAAAAUCUUGGCAGUAUCCUUCCUUUCUGAUAUAUUGCUUUGUUCCUUGCUUUUCAGGUCCAUUCUCAUGUUGAUGUUUAUAAUUUCACUUCUAACACAUGGGCCGAAAGGUUUGAUAUGCCCAAGGAGAUGGCACAUUCUCAUUUAGGAAUGGCCUCAGAUGGUAGAUACAUUUAUGCAGUUUCAGGACAGUAUGGACCACAGUGCCGCGCCUCGAUCAAUCGCAACUUUGUUUUUGACACAGAGACUAGAGAGUGGCAUGAGUUGCCCCCUUUACCACUUCCUAGGUAUGUAUGGUAGAGUGCACUUAGUUUAUUAGCCACAACCCGUUCAUGAAGUUAUGCUUAUGUCUUUUCUGUGUUAUUCAUUUUCAGCUUCUAUCAUUUAUUAUCAUGGACACGCUUGUUCAAAUUUGGUCUAGUCCAUUGGCUUUACCAACUCAUGGUACUGUCCAAAAAAAAUGUUAAACACAUAAUGCCAUCUAUCUGCUUGUGUUAUACUCUUUUUCUUCUAAUUUUGCAUUUUCUAAUGUCUGAGCAGCUGAUUAACAAUCAAAUUGUUGUAUUUUGUAUAGAGAAUAAUCUUUUAGUAUGUCACUUGAUCAGCCUAAUUCUACAAAAGGACACUAACCUUUUAGCAAUACAUGGAAUUAUUUAUUUUAUGGCCCUCUAUAUACUGCCAAUAUUUAUUUUCAAAAUCUGCUGAAAUGGUUCAUUGCUUGCAUUGUGUAUUGCUCUAUUUGAUGCUGCUUAGCUGGUACAUAGGACCUGAAAAAAAAACUUAUUUUGUGAAAAAUUCAGGUAUGCACCAGCUACUCAGCUUUGGCGUGGGCGGCUCCAUGUGAUGGGUGGAGGCAAAGAGGACCGCCAUGAACCUGGAUUGGAGCAUUGGAGCCUUGCUGUCAAGGACGGCAAGGCACUGGAGAACGAGUGGCAAGCUGAAGUACCCAUACCACGAGGUGGACCUCAUAGGUACGUCGGUGUGAACUUGUGUCAUUUGCAUGCAGUCGCCAUGAGGUCAUGCCUGUUCUGAGGGAUGAUUGUUGGUAUCUAGUGCUUAGGCACUCAUACUGUUUAUCCUUUGUAGUGGUACAGAAGUUCUGUUGGUUGUACACAUUUCUAAAUGAACAACACUUUGUAAUUUCUGACUUCUACUUUGCAGGGCAUGUGUUGUAGCUAAUGACAAACUAUUUGUGAUUGGUGGACAAGAGGGAGACUUUAUGCCUAAACCAGGAUCACCUAUUUUUAAAUGUGCACGGAGGCAUGAGGUGUGUAUGUGGUUCCUGAUGACGCUUAUCAUGCACUUGUGGUUUAUUUACUUGUCAUCAAGACCUGCAUUGGACCCAUGUUGAGUUGUACUCAUGAAAACAUGGUAUCUUUAACACUUUUUUUGGUGUUCACAAUUUUCUUUAAACAAAUAAGUUCCUGCAGUUGGGAUAUUACUUCCUAAUGAUCGCUUCAACUUGAACAUCAAACAAAAAUAUAUACUUUCAAUAUCAGCCCUGAUGUCCAAAUUCCUCUUUUGUGUGAAUUCGCAAUGAUCGCUUCAACUUGAACCUCAAAUAAAAACCUAUACUUUCAAUAUCAGCCCUGAUGUCCAAAUUCCUCUUUUGUGUGAACAUGUUGCUGCAGCUUAAUUCUUAUAUGUUCAGAAUUGCACUCUUGCAGGUUGUGUAUGGCGAUGUGUAUAUGCUAGAUGAUGGUUCCAAGUGGAAGCAACUGUCUCCAAUGCCAAAGCCAGAUUCCCACAUUGAAUUUGCAUGGGUUGUCGUUAACAACUCCAUAGUAAUUGUUGGAGGAACUACAGAGAAGCAUCCUAUCACCAAAAAGAUGAUUCUUGUUGGUGAAGUCUUCUGUUUUGAUUUGGAAUCGUUGGUAAGUUAUGUCGAAGCCAUUUUCUUUUUAUGGCUGUUUUUCGUUUUAUUGAGUCCAUGGUGGUUAUCCUCCGAAUUUUGAGGGUCCAACUAAAUGAAUUAAAUCUCUAUGCCAUUCUUGCAGACCUGGUCAGUCAUUGGGCGCAUGCCUUUCCGAAUCAAGACAGCCUUAGCUGGGUACUGGGAGGGGUGGCUCUAUUUUACUUCUGGGCAGCGAGAUCGUGGGCCUGAUAAUCCAGCUCCAAAGAAAGUUGUUGGAAGUAUGUGGAGAACGAGGCUACACUUGUGAUGGUAGAAGUUGUGGCAGUUUUUCUGAAAAUUUGUAGAUUUGCGUCUGAUUUCUAGUGUAACAGCUAGGUCCCUCUCAGAGAAUUUGCUUGUAUUUAUUUUGUUGUCUUCGAAUGCAUAUUAUCUAUUUUGACUAGAUUUUUUAAAUUUAACAUUUUGUCUACUUGCUUGUAAAUUGCCUGAGUACUGGCAGUAAAACCUUGUAAAUACCGCCUUUUCCAACAGAGGUGUUUGCCUAAACAAAGCAAAGGUUUCUGGCUUGAGGUAAAUCUGCAUGACUGGAUCUGUUUCCAUUUUCUGACAGCCAGGGGGCCCCAGGUGUGCAUCCCAUUUUUUGUAUCCUAAAACAUGUCAACCUGAUUUCUUGUUAAUAUUGUUUACUUGUUUUGAUUCCCACAUCCGGAAUCUGAAGUUCAGAGAUGUCUCCAAACAACCAGAACCAGAAGAGAUGUCCUAAAACAAUCUUUGCCCUCUAAUGGACGCUAAUCUAAGAGAUGUCUACAGAAAUCAGGGAUGUCUGGCUUGAUGUUUCUGUUUUUUUUCCCCUUCAUCAUUCAGGCCGAAGUACUGUUGCAGCCCAGGGUCAUCGUGUGGAUCCCUGCCGGCCGGCUCGAUGAGUUUCCGGCGGUUCCUGUACGUGGUGUGGGACGUCGAGGCAAUCGACGACGGCAGCUGCUCCCUUCGCCGCAUCGACACGUCGCGCCUCUUCUUCAAUGCAUCGACGCCGACGGCGGAGCAGGGGGCACCAGUGCCGCUCGACAGCGGCGGCGGCGGCGGAGGAGCUACUGAUCCGUCGGCGGCACAUGACGGCGGUCGCCUGCCUGACCCCACAAUAAAGGCAUAAAGCUGUGCCCUCCUAUCUUGCCGCGCAUGGUCGGUGGAGUUGGGGUCCUGCUCUUCAAGAACAAGGCCGCCAUGGGUGGGCGCGGGCACGAGCUCGAGUACGACAAGGUGGUCGCCGUCGACCGCACGGGCCACAGCUUCAUGUGCGACCCUGAAGAUGAGCCCUUCACCGUCCGCCCCCUGCCCAGCCUGACCGCUCCCAAGUUCUCACCCUUCUCCGUUCUCCCUCACCGUCGGCGAGAGUCUCUACGUCAUGGACACACUGUACGUCAUUUUUUGUCUUUUUCUUGUUAUUUAUCCUCUGUUGUGAUAUAGAUGGCAUAUUGACAACAUGUAAUUUCUAAAAUCAAAUAUUUGUAAUUUAAGGAAACUUUGCGGAUAAUUAACCUGUUUUAAAUGCAUACCGAGGCAUAAGGUGGUGUGUACUGCACCUGUGCUUUAUUUGCUGGUUAUCAAGACCUGCACUGCAUUGGACCAUGUUAAGUUUACUCACAACAUGAAAACAUGCUAUCUUUAACACUAUUGUUUCUUUUUUUUUUUGUACAUUUUCACUGAACAAAUAAGCUCAUGCACAUGGUUGGUAUUGUAAUUCCCAUAUGCCACGGAUCUGUAGUAUCUCAUACUCAACUACUACACUGUGUUUGUUUGGCUUCAAACUCAUAGUAUCUAUUUUAGUUAGAUAGAUUAACUUUAACAUUUAGGUUAUUUGCUUAACUUAAACAUUUAGGUUAUUUGCUUCUUAUAAAUUACCUAAGUACUGACAGUAAAACCUAGCUGUUGUAGUUACCUCUUUUCAACAGAGAUAUAUAUAUAUUUUUUUUGCUUAUGAAAGCAAAGGGCUUUUUACGUUAUAAGGUAGAUCUUCAUCGGUCUCCAUUCUCUUGCAGCCAGGGCCCAGUUAUUGAGCCCACUUUUUUUUGCAGCCAGGGCCAGGGCCCUGAUUUCUUGUUCAUGCUGUCUACUUGUUUUGAUUCCCACACACGUCUGGAAUCUGAAGUUCCUAAUAAAGAAAUCUUGCCCUCCAAUAGACUUAAGCACCUAUCGUCGACCUGUUCUGAAAAAGAUUAUUCUAUUUGAAAUGUUCCAUGCAAAGCAAUGGAAUAAAGGAGAGCCACCAUAUAUGCUCAUGUAUAUUCCUUUCCCUAGCUGUUGCAAAGAGGAUGGAAUUGUUUCAGUCUUUUGAUUUUUCCCCUUGUCUUUUUUUUUCUAUUUAAUUAUCCUCCGUUACAGCUGGGUUCGUUAGACAUUCCGUUUGUACAGUCUUGUUGUGUCAUCACUGACCAUACAUGACAAAAAGAAAAUGUCCAUUUUUCUGAAUUCAUGCAUUAUGGGCAGAAAUGUUCUCCCCUUAUAUAAUUGCAUUGAAGUAGUGUCAAUUAUUGCAUCCUUUUCCUCUUGUCAAAUAUACUUCUUUUGCGUGCAAAAAAAGAGAGAACUGAUUUUCCAAGAUGAAGAAUUAGCUUGUCCUGCUAGAAUAAUCGUCAGAUCCGCAAUAACUGCGAUAAUUAUUUAUAUAAAUUUUUUCCCUUCUCAUGAUGCCGAUCCAGCCCAGCUUUAGCUGUUGGGGGGGGGUUGGGGGGGAGAGGACACACACGGCAUGAUGUUUUCUUUUUUAGAAAAGGGAAUAUAUACAGCUUACAACUGAGCUGUUGUGAGCUGUUUUUUUUGCCAAACACUUAUUUCCAAAACAGCUUCAUGGGUGAAGCUAUUUUUCCCCUCCUCUCACAAAGACAUAAGUUGAAUGAAGCUGGAAAAAAGUAGCUUAUUGCAGCUUCUCUCUCAUUUCUCUCUCUCAACUAUGCAUGAAGUAGUUGGUGAAGCUAUUUUGCCAAACACUUUUUCCAAAACAGCUCAGCUUCAUCUAGAAAGUCACUCAUAAAGCUAUUUUCUGAAAAAACAGCUUCAUGAAGCUGAGCUGUGCCAAACAAGCCUACGAUAUGAUGGUGACUCACAUAUAACUAAUUAACCUUUGCCGGCGUUUACAGGGGGCUGUCACGGUUAAAUUAAAACUGACUAAUCACGUGAGCCUGUGAAUCUGAAAGAGCUUUCUUUCGGUCGGCACCACUGUCAUCAGUUGUUGAACAGGCGGUGGCGGACGGACGACCGGCAGGCUGGCCGGCGAUGAGCCGUCGCUGUUGCGGCCAGGCAAGCUCUGCACGUACGGUCACCAACUCCCACCGCGCAAAUCCAUGCUGUGCACGGGUAUCUGGUAAAUCUGACAGUGCCAUAUAUUUAGGGUUUGUUUGGCACAGCUCAACUUCACUAGUAAAGCUGUUUUUUUAGAAAAUAGCUUUAUGAGUGACUUUCUAGAUGAAGCUGAGCUGUUUUGGAAAAAGUGUUUAGCAAAAUAGCUUCACCAACUACUUCAUACAUAGUUGAGAGAGAGAAAUGAGAGAGAAGCUGCAAUAAGCUACUUUUUUUCAGCUUCAUCCAACUUAUGUAUUUGUGAGAGAAGGAGAAAAACAGUUUCACCCAUGAAGUUGUUUUAGAAAUAAGUGUUUGGCAAAAAAAACAGCUCACAACAGCUCAUGAAGCUGUUGUGAGCUGUACCAAACAGGCCCUUAUUUAGCUCAUUUUCGUUCCUUUUGUUUGUUUUUUUUUUAAAAAAAGAAAAUUCUCGUACACGCAUGUGUGCAUUUCUUUGAUGUUGCUGAAUAUCCCUGCAUCUAUAGGUGAGGCGUGUGCCUGACAAAACGGAACCACUACAAGCAACGUUGUAAUCAUGCGGUAUCAUGCAAGCACCGGCAACCCUAAAGUCUAAUGGAUGAUUUCCCUGAACUGCAGGCUACCACUUUUGUUCGCCAUCGCUCAUCGGCGUCGAGCAACGCCGGCCGCAUCUUUUGCCGGCGCUGGCGGGUCUUUUCUGCUUUUUUUUUUUUCUUUUGACAACGGUGAGGCAAUAUAUUUUUAGAUGAGUACGGUGCUGCCCCUUUUUUGUGCAGAUAUUAUUAUACUUAUAUGCAAUUUUUUUUCCUAACGCUAAACGGUAAACAGUCGGUCACCCACCGUUUGGCUAUUAUUUAGACUAAACAGUCAUUAAACGAGCUAAAUGGUCGAUUAAACAGGCUAAACGGAUGAUUAAACGAAAACGACGUACCAAUGUGUAGUAUUUAUACGGUGAUUACAUGGUCUAAAUGACCGUUUAGACGAACAGUGCUUAUAUGACGUGCAAUGCAACGACGACCGAUUAGGUAGCGCGUUUAGGAAGGAACCCGAUCUGACAAACGCAAUUAGCGCUAUGGAUGUUGACGUGCUAAUUCUGUACGGUUGUGUGUUUCAUCGGCUUUGUGCCUUUGACUGUGGCACCCGGCCAUACGCAAGAAAUUAAAUGAACCUGGGUGCAGACAAAGUUGUUAUAGAAAUGAACCAUGACUAAGGCCUUGUUUAGUUUCAGAUUUUUUUUCAAAACGGACACCGUAGCAUUUUCGUUUGUAUUUGACAAAUAUUGUCCAAUCAUAGAUUAACUAGGCUUAAAAGAUUCGUCUUGCAAAUUACAGAUAAACUAUGUAAUUAGUUAAAUUUUUUAUCUAUAUUUAAUGCUUCAUGCAUAUGCCGCAAGAUUCGAUGUGACGAAGAAUCUGAAAAAUUUUGUAAAAUUUUUUGGGAACUAAACAAGGCGAUUGCUAUAUACAAAUAUACUAAGGCCCUGUUUAGAUUUCCACCCAAAAAAUUUUCAUCCAUCCAUCAAAUCUUUGGACACAUGUAUGGAACAUUAAAUGUAGAUAAAAAAAAUAAACUAAUUACACAGUUUGGUUGAAAAUCGCGAGACGAAUCUUUUAAGCCUAGUUAGUCCAUGAUUAGCCUUAAGUGCUACAGUAGCCCAGAUGUGCUAAUGACAGAUUAAUUAUGCUUAAUAGAUUUGUCUUGCAGUUUCCUGACGAGCUAUGUAAUUUGUUUUUUUAUUAGUUUCUAAAAAUCCCUCCCGACAUCCUUCCGACAUAUCCGAUGUGACACCUAAAAAUUUUUCAUCCCCAAUCUAAACAGGCACGAUAAAAGAAAUAAAUGCCAUUAGAUUAGUUGUAGAAUAUAUUUUAAUAAUAAAUUUAGUUGGAGACAUAAAUAUUAAGACUAUCUCCUAUAAAUUGGGCCAGACUUGAGUUAGUUUAACCGGCAUGAAUCCUAUAAUUACACUCUUUUGUAGAUAAAAGGGAGUAUUAGCUUUUAUCUACUGCUAUUGAAAGAGAAAUUAUUACUGGAUCUUUUUAUCCUUUUCUGUUGGGAUAUUUGGAUGGUAAGAAAUUUUGUCAUCUUUAGAAACAAGAACCCAACAAUGAAAGUUUGCAAAAAGAUUUUUAGUUUCAGAGACCUUGUUACUGCUGCACAGAGCAAAAGCGAGUUUAGUUUCGCAUUUAGAAUCAUGGUUAAACUCCUUUGUAAUUCUCUGGAUCUUUUUUCUCUCCUUCUCUAUUCCCUGAUUCUCCCUUCUAGCUGUAGCUUUUCCUUUUACUAGCUUUUGCUCUGUUUUUUUAUUUGUACUCUGUUUUGUUUAAUAAAAUUACAGUAGAAGCUGCUAGCUCCAUCUGAUUCCUAAAAAAAAAUAGCUUUCAUCGACUAGCAUAUAGUUAUUAGCACCAGUGGAUCAAAUAAGACCUAUAUUUAGGCCUCGUUUGUUUAGUUGAGGAUGUGAAAAAAAAUUUAGAUACUAUAGCACUUUAAUUUUUAUUUGACAAUUACUGUCCAACCCUGAUCUAACUAGCUUAAAAGAUUCGUCUCGCAAAUUACAGGCAAACUGUGCAAUUAGUUAUUUUUCUAUCUAUAUUUAAUGUUUUAUGCAUGUGCCGUAAAUAGGUUUUAGAUGUAACUAAACAAGAUCUUAGUAAAUAUUUAUAAACGUGAGGCAGCAUGCUGACGCUGAUCCAAAGGCGGUGAAAAGAGUCAAAGACAAGCACAUACGUGUUCGUCCGCUCUUUAAAAUGAGUACUCUUUUUUUUAGAAACUAGAGGGUAUACUGCACGGGUAGGGGUGAGUAUUAAAAUGAGUACUCUUUUUUUUAGCAUUAGUUUUUUUUUCUAAAAUAAGGGCCUGUUUAGAUUGGGAUAAAAAUUUUUUGGGUGUCACAUCGACUGUGUCGGAAGGAUGUCGGGAGGGGUUUUUAGAAACUAAUAAAAAAACAAAUUACAUACCUCGUCAGGAAACUGCAAGACAAAUUUAUUAAGCAUAAUUAAUCUGUCAUUAGCAUAUGCAGGUUACUGUAGCACUUAAGGCUAAUCAUGGAGUAACUAGGCUUAAAAGAUUCGUCUCGCGAUUCUCAACUAAACUGUGUAAUUACUUUAUUUUUUUAUCUACAUUUAAUGUUUCAUGCAUGUGUUCAAAGAUUCGAUGAGAUGGAUGAAAAAUUUUUGGGUGGAGAACUAAACAGGGCCUAAGUGUCGUGAUAGGUAAACAUGUAGCACUUUCUACUCCAACCCAUAAGAAACACAAUAUAGGCUAACUUUACUGGAGGUAUUUGGUCAUUUACCGAACAGGAACUGAUUUUUUCAGUUCCGGUUAUUUCAGUUUUAAUUCCAUUAUUUCGAUCGGUUCGAUUUUUGGUAUUCUGUGCCCAGAGUAAAUUACCGGUUCCAUUGGUAUCUUUGUGAGAUGGAGUAUAUGCAGGGACGAAUAUAAAAGUGGUGUGGGUGGGGCUGCAGCCUUUGCCCCUACCGCUUCCGUGACAAUGAAACUCUUUCUAAUUUUAAUUUGCAAGCCCCUACCGCGUGUUGCCAUGCUUCAAUUGUGGUGUGCCAUGAGUUGAAAAGCCGUUGUUUGGUUCAAGAUGCAGGUGCAGCAGCCAUAGCUUUUCCUUGUGCAAAACACACGCGGCGGCAAAAAUAAACGAAGCUAGAUAAGCUACCAUUUUUGGGCUCCAACGGCUUCCGGAGCAUGAAGGAAGUGCCACCGGAGCCGCUGGAGCCCCCCUUAGCAAAACCCUUACUAGUGCCGACGGACGACGGUAGCACUGAGAGUGACCACGUCUUCUCGUAUUAGGUUAAAUUGCUUCAGAGGGUGCAAUCAGCAGUGUAACCAUCACGGGAUAAUCCUCUCCAUUGGCUUGGCUUUGCAAUUGCACCUGCCCUCGGGCAGCUGCGGACACCUCAGCCAGCCACGUGGGAUCCUUCUGGCAUCAUCCCUCUCCCUCUCGCCACGUGUCUUUCCCCUCCCCCACCCCGCACGAGACGAGACCUCCCCCGAGGCCCAAGCAAAGCACAAAUCCCUCCCUCGACUCGAACCCCACCUGCCACUCCCACUGCCUCGUGGGACCAGGUCUCCGUGGGCACCUCCCCCCGAGAUUGCGAGCCUUUUUAAAAAGGCCCACUUCCUCCUCGUUCCGACCGGACCACUCGACCUCUCUCAACCGUCGGCAUUUUACAGCUCUGACCUCACCCUCUCCGGCGAGGCCACUUCCUUUCCCGCCCGCGGCCGGCCCGCAUGGCCUCCACAGGCGACGGCCUCGCCGGUCCGCCCCCGCCUCGCCCGCCUCCGUCUCCGUCGCGGCCACCUGCCGAGACCCCGACCCCGACCCCGACCCACGCGGCGGCGAUCUCGUCGCCGCUGCUGGAGCCUGCCGCGCCGGGCGCGGACGCGCCGCCGCUCUCGCGGUGGCUGCGGCGGCUCGAGGCGUUCCUGUCGGCGGCGGGUCUGGCGGCGUCGACGCCGCUGGGCGUGGCCGCGGCGGCCUCCGCGCUCGCCGUCGUGGGCCUGGCGCUUCCCGCCGCGGCCGUCACGCUCUCCCCGUGCCGCGCACGCAGCCGCCGCCGCCGCCGCGGCCGAGGCGGGUGCGACGACUUCGAGGUCGAGGUGUUCGAGGUCUGCGUCCUGCUCUCGCAGGCCGCCGCGGCCGCCGUCGCGCUCGCCUGCGUCUCCCGGAAGAUGGCCAUGUAUGGGCUCCGCAAGUUCCUCUUCGUCGACCCGGACCUCGGCAUGAGGAUCCGAUUCCAGAAGGAGUACGUCGCCAAGAUCAAGGUGAGGUGCCCGCGCGAUCUCGUCGGGAUUAUUCCUCGCUAUCCUGUCCUUGCUCGGAUUUUAUUUGAAUUUGUAUCAAUACGGCAAGCAGUUACAGUCGAAUGCUAGGAGUAGUGUCCAAAUCCGAUAGUGAGAGCAGUUGCUAUAAAUGGUCACUACUCGUGUUACGUCUGAUACUUCUACUUACUGCUGCUCCACUAGUGGAUAAUUUGGUGCAAAUUUGUCCCAUUUCGACCAAAUUUGGUGCAACUUUAUGCAUCUCAAGGAGGAAUUGUGGAAUUCAGGUGCCAUUUGAUUGUUUCUAGGAAACUUGGAGAAUAUUAAGGCUAUGGUUGUCAUUUCCUGCUUAUAGUAUUUAAUGGGAAGAUUGCGUGUUGCAACCUCUAGCAGCUUCUACUGAAACCUCAUGUCUAGACUAGAUCGUUGAUUGGCACUUCUGAAUUUUCUGUUCCAUGUUUCAUUGACAUGUGGAGCCAGGGGGAGCAUACAUGUCUGUGAGAUGAUAUAUGUCUUCUCAUGUUACCAUAACGAUUGGAGCUACAAAUCCUAAAAUCUCUUGUUUAAUCUGUGCCGCCCUGGAUCAUUGGCUUUGUCCUUUACUGAAGUGGCUUGUUCUUUCAGUUACCUAUGUGAUCUACAUGUGCCUCCUUCAUGUUACCAUGUGAGUGGAGCUCAUGUGCGUGUGGUACUCAGUUUAUGUUUGUGCCGACAUGUCUCUGUGUCUUUGUUUACUGUUUAUACACGGAAACGCAUGUUAGGGGCUGGUCAAGGAUUUGGGAUCUGGAACAGGAACACCUAGUAUUUCCUUGGCUUUGUUAUUACCAUUGUGAUUUUUUUUUGUUAUAGAAUGAAGCACACAUUUCCAUUUCCUAAUGAACGCCUCUUGCCCUUCCUAGAUUUACCUUGUGAUUCUAGUGGAAAUUAAUUUAAAUUGGAUUUUUUUUGAACUGAAACUGUUGAGCAUUGCUCCCCAGCAUAUUACUACCCGCAAAGAAAGUACUCCCUCCAUCUCAAAUUGUAAGUCGUUUGACUUUUUUUACCCAAAGUUUGACCACUCGUCUUAUUCAAAAAAAUUGUGCAAAUAUAGUCAAAUUUAAGUCAUUCUUGAAGAACUUUUAUUAAUAAAUCAAUACAUAACAAAAAAAAAGUGAUAUUUUGUACAAAACUUUGAAUAAAAUGAGUGGUCAAACUUGAUAUUAAAAAAGUCAAACGACUUACAAUUUGGGAUGGAUUGAGUACAAGACAACUUAGCAAAGUGUUAACCAAGGGUAGAGAUUACUUACAAAGCCACUAGGGAGGAAAAAGAAGGGGAAACUGACUUUACAAAUUUGCAACCAAUUCAUAACUAAGGGGUGAAGAGAGGGGUGGAAGCAACACAACUGAAGUUUAACUUCUUGUGUGAAAAGAGCCUUCCAAGCAACUAAGGAAAAAGAUGUAGGCAUUAUGCUCCUUCCAAAUGCACCAAACGGCUGUCAUGAGGACCUCCAUGAAGAAGGAAAUCUCAUGUUUAAUACAGCAUCUAUCGUAACAUCCUUUAAAUCAUGCAUCAUGCUAAGAGCUUUGGUAUAUUCAAUUUUCUGUUGACAAGUGUUGCAAACCCUGCCACAGGACUUCUUCCGCACUCUUACAUGGUGGAUAGUGCCGUGCUUUGUUGUGAAGGUCACCCGGGAAUUCUUCCGCUUCUCCCACAUCUUGCAGGAAUCAAUUUGGAGAGCCUGCGUUGUAUUUUUCGCUUCCAUCAUGUCAUGGAUGUACUUGACGACGAUCAUAUUGUCGUCCUGCAUGCUCUUCAACUUGGUCUGCAAUCUGCAAGUUAUCCACUUUGAUGACUAUGGCAAGCUUCUGGAGCAAGACGCGGAUCCUAUGGUCUAUUUGAAAGAGCACCUGCAGCUCCGCCACAAUCUCUCCAAAAUCAGUCACAGGUUCCGCAUGUUCCUCUUGCUGCUCUUCCUUUCUGUUACAGCAAGCCAGUUUGCCAUUCUUUUCAAGACGACAGCUUACAGCGGGCCAAUCAAUUUCACCAAUGGAGGUGACAUUGCUGUGAGUACCUCAUGCUUUUACAUUUUUCUUUUCCUUCGGCAUAAUGUAGUGCGACAAUCGAGUCACGAGCACAUUUCCUCUUAUACUGCAGGUGUCUUCAGUCGUUCAAGUUGUCGGUCUCGUCCUCUGUUUGCAUGCUGCUGCUAAGAUCUCCCACAGAGCUCAAAACAUCGCUUCAUUGGCUAGUCGAUGGCAUGCGUUAGCAACAUGCUCUACUGAUUCUACUUAUGUGAACACCCCAAACAGUUCUGGGAACCUUGUGCCCUUUCCUGCGCAUCUGUUUCUGAGAGAUUUAUCGGAAAGUGAUCUGGAGUCCCUGGACAGUGCGUCGCUUCAUGGCAGUUCUCAUGGCACUGCUCAGUUGGCUUCCUACAUGUCUUCAUACCACAAGAGGGAAUCACUUGGUAUGUAAUACAAAGCUUCCUUUGAUUCUCCAGCGCUUAAUCUCCAACCAUCCAAUGUGAUACUUCAAAGAGCAUGCUCCACAAUAUCCAUAUCAUUUCAGUGCUUAUGCUCUGCUUCUCGUCUGCAUGAUUUUCAGUGCUGUACCUGCUGGCCAACCCAGGCGGCAUCACGAUAUUUGGCUGGAUCGUCGACCGAGCAUUCCUAAACACCAUCCUGAUGCUCGAGUUAACUCUUGUGCUCUUCGUGCUUAGCAAGACGGUCGUGAUCCCAGCCAAGACACUGGUACACAGCUACAUCGGGUUCCCGUGAUUACUACACCGUUGCGAAUCUGCGUUGUACAGAUUGAAGCAUUCAGGUUCAAGUUCAGUUAGGAGAUGGGAUUUGAUGACAGGUUACCGAGGUUUGCACGUCAGAGUGAGAGAAACCAGUAAGAAUGGUGGCAGAUUUGGUCUUGCUCCAGAAAGCGCAAAUCAUAUGCGCUCCCAAUCCAGGCAUUCUAGACUUUCAAAAAAAAAUCCAGGCAUUCAGCGUGCUGCAGGCUGAAUGAAGGCUGGAUGAAGGUUAGGGUCGUGACGUGUACAGUUUUGGGCGGGUAAGUGAUCCGGGGGCUUCCAUUCUUUUUGCCGUGUAUAUUAUAAUAUAAUACGCAAUGUAUACGUACUAAUAUACUAUAAACCAAUAUGAUAUAAGAAGUAUAUUUUCUACCAUUUUUUUAAGCCAUGGAACGGUCAUUUAAAUGUAUAUAUACAACCCUGACGAAAUGUGCCAUGCGAUCAUUUGUCCCUCUUUAGGAUACCCUUUCUCUGUGCAUUCACUAAACGAAUGAUUGACGAGAUCACGAGAUGAAUUGUUGAAAGUAGGGGUACCAUAUUAUUUAGUUGAAAUAAGGUGCUCUGCUGCUGUUCAAGAUCAUCCACGACAGAUUUCUUUAUUCCACGCACUGUAUUGUUGAACAGAGUCCUAAAUUUAGCCUGACUUCUUAUUAAUAAGAGUUCCGUAAAUCUGUCUGAACAAGCUAAUGUAAAAGAAUAACCAAUAUUUUUCCUCUAAACUGUCCAAGGUUGUGGCUACAAUCAAGCACCUCGAACAGGAACCAAGCUGUUGGCUAUACACAACAUGCGACGCAGAACACAGAACAAACAACUGGUACAAACAGAGCUACAAAUCUAGUCAGGGUGGCCCGAUAAUGGUUGGAACGGACCAAAAAAGAAUCAAAAUUGGCUAUAUUCUAUCGAAAAGAAACCUAAAUGAGCUCCUAACAGAGGAUGGGUUGUGAGGAAAAUUUCAGUACAUUCCUUUGAAAACUGGGCUUGUUCUGCAGAUGCUGGCUCCAUGUUCCUCGUAUUCCUCCUUUGUGUGGCAAAACUGCAUGAGAAAAAGGGAAAUCACUUAGAUUUCAUUCACAUAAAAUGAAUUCAUGAGGAAUAAUUGUUUUAUUUUUUUCAGGUCACGAGAAAUAAUUAUUUUUUUAGGGUCACGAGGAAUAAUUGUAUUCAUAACUCAGUUAUAACACUGCUAUAAAGCAUUGCAAUUCACCACAUUUUACUGGCAUUAUAAGUUUAAGAUAAGAUAAGAUAGCAGAAAUACAGUGAUUACUGAAGAUUGCCAAUUUAUUGAGGCCCCUAGAAUGUCAAGUGGCAGGUACCUCAAAGAAUUCAGGGUUAGACGCAGCUACUGACCCCCCGAACCAAACUGCAUAACUCUGUAUUGGAUGGGCAACCACGUUGACUUCAAUAGGCUGACAACAGGGGGAAAAAGUCAAAUUAAAUGACAGUACCAAGUACAUAAAAUUACUAACAUGUACAAUAUUGACAACAAGAGUACAUUAAAUGGGGAUCGAGAAUCAAUCAGCUGUACUUACUCUCACUUCCACACGAUGACGGGCAUUAGUCGCGGCAACACGCUCAUCCACUAUCUUCUUUAUAUCAUUUUGGAGUCUCUUGUGGAAGUCUUUAAACAUAGUAGAUCCACCAGAUAAUACUAUAUUCUGCAAAAAAAUAGAAUUCUGAUAAAUGCCACAGCAUUCGCAUAUAUCACUUCCCAUCUUACAUAUCCAUGCAGGGUUUGAAGAAAGCACCUUGUACAGAGCUCUCCUUGUGUCAAUUGGUGCAGACUGAACACAGUUAUCAAUCAACUCGGGUAAAGGAGUGGAGAAAUCGGCAGAGUAAAUCUCAGGAUUGAAGAAGAUCUGCAUUUGUUAGUAGAUGGUUAGAGAUGCACACCUAAUUCUGACUUUUUAGAAAAAUCAUAACCAACUGUAUAAAGUUAAAAGUUUAUUCUAACAAAAAGGUUAAAUACCAACAAAAUUAAGCUCAAGGCAAAACAAACUUAUAAUUUCUAGCACCUAAUAACCUUUUCAAGAUAUAUUUGAUAACACCCAUUUUUUAGUGCCAAUUUCAUACCCAUGAUGUACGGGCUGAACUACUACAAAAGCUUAUCGAUAUCACUUGACAGUGUAAAAAUGAAGCACACGGUAGUAUUCGAUUGGAAGUAGAGACCAAUGUUUAUAUAGUAACUACAAGAAGGUAAUGAACCAAGAUAGUGCCAAACAAAGGUUAAGACAGUUCCAGAGAAUAAUAGCAAUUGGCAAGUACUCGCUAGGGCAACUAUCUUGUCCAGAAGAAAAGAAAUACCAAAGUUUCAAAAUUUACAAUCUAUUUCAUUUUGCGGAUGAACCAAGGAAACCAUGAUCUCAGUUCCUAAAUAGUAGCAAAUCUAUAUGCCAAAAGAUGCUUCUAUAAGUAUGCAAGACUGUCAUUGGCAACUCUACAUCUACAAAUCCAUUCAUUGAUGUGACCUCAUUCUUCAAGUUGGUCAUAAAUGUUACAUUAUAAUAUGAAGCUUUAGUUCAGUAUGACAAUGUAAAUGAGUACAACUCGUAGAAACUCAUGAACAAAUAGUGCUGCAAUCAUGUGAACCGCAGAUUGGCAAUCCUUGACCCUUGUUCCCAUGAACUCCAUUGAUAUUGCCACAGGACAAGAAUAAGUACAGUGUGAAAUGGCCAUCCAGUGAAGUCUGUACAUUCACAUUGUUAACCAGUUCCUUUACUACGCAAUUAACAGAAACAAAUGCUCACAAGAAACCGGGAUGUCUUGUAUGAAGUUUAUCUCUUAAUUUACAGCAACAACAAGCUAAAUUUCUGUCUUACUCAGAGUAAUGUAAGAUCAAAAGCUAUAAUAAAUUCAUCACUGCAACACAGUGUAAUUGACACUCAAAAGAUGAUCGUUGGCCAUAAUAUUAUACCAUUUUGGAUCAAUAGUUUGGGAACAAAAAAACUAUUGCAGUUUUGAUGACAGACUAUUGCAGUUUUGAUGACAGAAAUAGGAAUAAACCUCUGGCCCAAGAAAGCGUUCAUAUCCGAUGUCAAUUGUAUAUGGGACCCCAGUCUUUGGUUUAACAGCUGUCCAAUGUUUGAUGUACUUAUCAGGCUUCUUGUCAUGUUUCUUGAACUCCUGAAAUUGUAAUGGAGAUGCAUAAGAAUCUAAAUCUUUUUGUUUGUUUAACAUAGAUGCCUACUGUAUGGCCUCUUGCUAGAAGUACUACUUAUAUCAAACUUGCCACAUAUAUAUUUAUAAAAGAAAACAGUGCAUAAAAUUAGUCUACAUGUUGAGAAGCUGAAGACCAAAAGGUAUCUACAGUCAUUGUUAAGCAACAGAAGCAAACAUAAAAUAACAUUAAACAGAUUCUACAACCAGGUCAAAAGUAGUGUUUACACAGGGAACAAGUUUUACUAGCACGCUUAACUUCAUUAGGGGACUUCAACUCCCAUUAAACAAUUUUGCUAGUUCUGAAGAGUUGAAGACCAAUGGAAAAUAAAAUGUCAAUACCUUGACAAUGUCUGAACAAGUAUAGCAAUACAUUUCUUUCACUUUACGAGAUAUAUCUAAAGAAUCCUCAGGUGGCAAAAGCUCACCUCUUUCCUGCAAAACCACCAGAUGACACUAGUCAAUAACAGCAUUUAUAAUGUAAUACACCAUCAGCAGGACAGCAUCCAUGCGCCCGAGAAAAUUCAUCCAGCUUUUACAGGGGACCACAAGAGAAUGCCUCAAAAGUAGAAGUAAAUAUUGAGAGCAUAAAGGACUAAUACCGAUCAGUACAACUCUAAUUGCGAAUAUGGUUUAUGUUCACAGUGGCUCUGCAGUAAGAUGCAAUUUCUCACCAGGUGACUAAUCAUGGUAAUAUGAGAAUUCCCCAUUUUCAAGUAAAUAUUUUUCCCAAUCACACAAUAAUAGUCAAGGAUAGGAUGGCAUUCAAAUACUAUAUACUCCUUCCAUUCCAAAUUAUAUGUUGUUUUGUUUUUUCUAAGUACAUAGCUUUUGCUAUUAUCAAGACAUAGUGUUCUAUGUGCAUAGCAAAGACUAUAUAUUUGGAAAAGCCAAAAUGACUUAUGAUUUAGAACAGAGGGAAUAGGAAUUAAUGAAUAACGUACCAUUCAAUUUAUUCUAGAAGAAUGGCCAAAAUAACAAGUAUCCCGGUUUUAUGUGUUACUGAUUGAAUUUCUAGUGAUAAUGUAUGAUCUGCACGCUAACACUUUGGAGGGUCAAAACUUGAUUUCUUGAGACAAUGCUGGCUAACAUUUUUAAGGUAUUGUCAUUAACAAUCUGAAUGGAUCUAACAUAACUCAGUACGAGCUAUGCUAAUUUAUCCACACAUCAUCUAUGCACAUAAAACAAGAUAAACACUAGCAUUAAGAAUAACAAGCAAUCCGGCAAAAAAUAUCUAGGGUCGACCCAAUCUACGUUUCACUUGCGGACUUGCCACAUGAGCAGAUCCAGGAUAGAGAAUCAUAGAUGUCAGUAGUAAGCAUUGGUCUUGUUUUUUUGGAUCGACAACAUUUUAGCCUGGGAUAUCAAAAUAUCCAUUGCUGCCCAUUCACAGCAGUAAAAUAGCCUGGUUUUGCCCUUGUUUCCAUGCAGCAGGCAGCAUUCCCACCGACAUUGACCAGUCUGCAGUCUUAUCUAAUAAUCAAUCUUAUUGAUCAAUCCAGAUCAAUAUUCUUGCUUUUACAAUACUUGAUGUUGGCAUCCAUAAAAUUCAAUAAUUACAUUUUUCCUAUGCAAAGCAACCCUAUUUAAACAAUAUGUAUAUAUGUCUGCUUGGUAAAAAAAAGAAACUGAACACCAAGUUUAUUAUAACGCUAAAAUAAACUUUGAUUUAAGAGCACAGAACCAGAGAUCGAUACAGCCCUAUUUAUGAGCAAUACGAGUAAUUUUGCAUCUGAAAGUAAUCACAACAAAAAAUGGAGAGCAUGAUGUACCUGUAAAAGCUGCGAAACAAACUGGGUUACAUCACUUCCAGAAAAAGGAAAAGACUUUAUGCUACUCCCAAUUACAUAGCCAUUUACAACUGGCACGAUUUGUGGAGCUCCGUCCCCAAUAUCAACUACUACUCCUGUCAUAUCAGACUGACAAAGUAUAUUGGCCAAAGUUAAUGAGAAGCAAUGUGCUCUACCAAAGAAUUUAUAGGCAUUAAAUGAAAAAGGGUCAAGAGACUGGAACAAUAAACAGUGAUUUGCUAUACAAAUGACUGCCCUCAAUCAUGAGUUCUAGAAUUUGACAAGCAACAGAUUAUAUAUUAAUUAUGAUGCUGACCUUUUUAAUACACAUCAUGAUUCAAAGAGACAUAUAUAAGUAAAGGGGUGGCUGAUCUUUGUGAGGGCAUGCAAUCACAAUAAUAACUUUACAUUUCCAUUUUUUUUAAAAAAAAGAAUUCAAUAAAAGCAAUGAAUGCCAAUCAAGAAGAUGUGGUUUAUGCAGUAACAAAUACUUGGUAAACAAGCACGAAAGGAGGUAUUCUCAGAACCUACCACGGUAUCUGAAUCGUCAUCAGAAAUACUUUUCAGAUAGGCAUAUCCAGCAGAAAGGCUGAGGACAGAUUGAACAGAAAUAUAUAGUCCAGGGACAUUGAAGGUCUCGAACAUUAUUUCUCCUGUACAUUCACGACUUUCAGGUGUACUGACAGGACUAUCCGUAAGAAGGAAAUAGUGCUCUUCAGGAUUACAACGUAGAUAAUUGAAAAUGCAUUGCUGCCAAAAUCUCUCCAUUGUGUCCCAGUCAUGAACCUGCAAAACAGGAAAGAGGAUAAGGCAUACGGAGGUAGAACACAAACAAAGGACAGGAUCAGUAAAAGGAAAUGUAUAUACAUACCUGACCAUGACGGAUUGGACUUCUUAGUGUGUACAGCCCACUAGACCUAAACCGCGAUAGAGCCUCAUCACCAAUAAAAAAGUCAAGAUCAGCCAUGAUGCCUGCAUUAUACUGUGCUAUCCAGUUUGCACUACUCAACAGCUCUGUCUGGUCUAGAAAAGAUUCGUUCGCAGCUACGACAGUAGGGAGGGUGAAAGACGGCUCCGAGUUCCCAGAAAAUCCAAGUUUGCUAUACCUAAAAAAAUAAGAGUAUAAAAAUCUUGUAAGAAUAAAAAAUGGUGAUAGUCAAGUCAUAAACUCAUAGUAGAAAAAAGGGUGCAAGUGGUACUGAGACAAAGAAAAGAAGAAGAAGCAGAAGUGACAUAAUUUAGCAAAUAGUUUAACAAUUGCAUAGAAAUUGAAGCAACCCAGAAUCAAUUAGAACUGUUUAUAUCCUGGGAAAGUUCAUUUUGUGAGCGUUAUUACUUUAGGAUCUGUUCUCGUGACUUUGUUAGUUGCUCAUAAAAAGAUAUGGAAUCUUAAUGUGACAACGAUGCAAUGCCUUACAACCUAAACUUGCUGCAAGCUGAGAGUACAAGAGGAAAAGUCAUCGUGGAAUCUGCCUUGAGUUGAGGAUAGUGGAUACCAUAUGUACCAUAAAGUACAGCACAAGCAGGACAGAGGCAAUAUUUCACAUUCUACUUCAAGAGAAACUGAGGAGCAGUAUCAAAUAAAGGCUACCACUCUAAAACAGUUUCCUCCCCAACUCUUCCCCCCUUACCCUGCACAGAUUUAUCCUGACUGCACAACAGACAGCACAACCAGAUGGAGUCCGUUGUCCUCACCAAACCGGUGCCUCCAAAGUGUACACCGAGAAUGUGAGCCCACGACAAACCAAACCACAACGGGCCCCAUCAAUACCUGGUAUCCUGACACCCAUCCCCUCUGGCACGGGCACAACCCAUUUCAGGGGGGCGAGCCGCGGGAUCAUGGCUGAAAGCUCGGCGAGAACCAGCCGACCACACGGGGGAAUCGCGCGCUGAUAGAGCAGUAUACUGGCACCAGCGACUUGGAGGGAGGUCGUCAGGUCGGGUCGGAGACAGGACAGCGAGCUGGUGAGGAAGAGAGAGAGAGAGAGAGAGGGUGGAGGGAUCGGUCGGGUCGGGAGUUACCCUGUGCCGUUGUCGAUGACGAUGGCCGGGCGCGCGGUGGCGUCCAUGGCUGACAGCUCCGGCGAGUCCCCGCCGGCUCAUGCCUCCGCCGCCGCCGGAGUGACCGGGAGGCGGGGCAUCGGGGUCCGCCGCGAUGGAGGCCUCGCUCGCUCCCCCCCGGGGGCCGCCUGAUCGAGCCGAGGUGGGCGGGCGUUGGCCGGCGGCGGGCGGGGCUAGGGUCGGGCCGAUCGAUUUCAGGGGAUCGGAUGGCGCGCGGGCUCGAGAGAUUCGAGGAGGCGGGCGGUGCGCGGCGCGUGGCGUGGCGUGGCGAUGGGGACGAGACCUCACGAGUUGGUUUGGUUUGGUUGACGAGGGAAGCGGGAAGGCAGGCAGGCGAAGUCGUCGAAGAAAGUGGGUGGCUUGUGGAGUUGUGACUUGUGAUUGUGCGUGCCUGCGCGCCGCGUUGGUGGGUGGGUGGCCUCUGGGCUCUGUCCGUGUCUGUGAAGUGCGUUAGGGUGGGGUGGGGUGGGGUGGGGUGGGGCCGCACUCACUCGCUCCUAUCCCAGGCCCACCUGGCAGCAGCGGACUUCUGGCCAUGUGUCCCUUCUCUGUAAGGCCCCACUUUGGCCGGUCAUUUCCCCGUGGAGGGAGCCCACGAGGAUGGUUUCCACGCGCCGCUACUCGGACUGGUUUGGAAGCACGCGACACAGGGCUCUCCGCCGCGAAGGAGCAGGGUUUUGACGGGGAAACCUGUCCGACCUCGUCACGUCGGGCGGCAUUCCCCGCCGACUCGACUCACCUCGACGACUCCUCCGUCGCCGCCCCUCCGCACUCGCCUCGACUCUCCGCCGUGGCCCCUCCGCCUUCGCCUUGACUCUCAUCUUGCCAUCCCCGUCACCUCCCAGCCACCAUCCCCCUUCUGAACCAUCGUCGUCCUCGCCUCCACAUCGGCUUCGUCCCCACACACUGGAGAGAUGUGACCACUGCAGCUACUGAGAGGACGGCUCCAAGAUCCACUUCAGUUCUUCUCAGAUUUGUCUUCCCUCUGAACAAAGUAAGAUGGUCUCGAUUUGGUAUGCACCCGCUUGAUUCGUCCCCCUUCUCUAUGUUUUGUUGUAUAGUGUCGAAUUCAAGUGAGCAUCUGCCUAGAUUGUUUUCAUCAUCUGUGACGUGCUUGUUUCAUGGUUGAUCCACUUUGCUUGCCCCAACCCGAUUGACUAGGGUUUACUAAAUUGUUGAUUCACAGGUGCCCAAAUAUAGCCGAUCUAGGGUUUCAGUAGAUUAUUGGUUCUUAGGUUUACUGGUUCUAGUAGUGUGUUCUUGAAUUUCUUGUUUCUAGCACUAGCUGGUUUUGGUAGAUCCAGUUUACUGGUUCGUGAAUGCACUUGUUGAUACAAAUUGGGAGCAUGAACUGGUUUUGGUAGAUCCAGUUUGACUCCCACAGUUGAUAUGAAUUGGUGAGAUUCUUACUGAUACACUAGAUUUUGAUAAAAGGAUACAUUUUAAUUGCUAUAUGCUUUGCUUCGGCCGUUUGGAGCAACUUCAUCUCCCAUGUUCUAUAAUCCAUCCUAGCAUGCUAGAAGUUUUUCUGCACAAUUGCACACGGAAGCAUUAGCCAUAGGUUGAUAGUUUUCUGACAGGUCAAGUCUGCUGUGUCAGGUUCCAUUUUUUUUUUUUUUGCAGCAACUAGUAGGACUAGAACCAUGGUAUUCCUUUAUUUUUGAAGCAACUACUGCUAUCUUAGCUAAUAUUACGAUCAUACGGAUUUGUGUUUUCAUUUCAAGGUGAUCAACCUUUUGUUUCGAAUAAAGAGUUGUAGUUCAGUGUUCGACCUUUAGAAAAUUCAGUUCACUGAGCUGUUGUUUUUUCUUCAGAAAUGAUUAAGCUUCUUUCCUCUAAACUGUACUGCUUGCUGCCAUCUUGCAAUUAGCUGCAUGGGUUGUAGGUCCUUUUCUUCUUCAUGUUUGCAAACAGAACCGAUCUUGCUAUUAAGCUUGUCACAUUUGCAGUUUAGUUACAAUUCUUGCUGAGAAUAUAGAUUCUGAAAUGACCUACAUGACCUGGGCACUUUAGAUUCUGAAAUGGCUGCAUCCAAGGCAUAAGUAUGGUUAAGACAGUUUGUUUUUUUUUCCACAUUAUAUGGGGCUGUUUGUAAUCUGCCUUAACCAUUGUUACUCUUGAAACUUGUAAGUAGGUCAAUCUGCUAUUUAGAGUUCACGCCAGAUCUUUUAUCCUGUUCUUUCAGUCUCUUAGUAAUGGUAACUCUGGUAGUCCUUGUUAUGUUGCUAUGUUUCUUUCUUGUGCUAUCAUACAGCUGAUCUCAGUGUAGAAUAGUGAUUAGUCUCAUACGGUUGUCCUUUGCUCAGUAUUCAGGUAGUAGUAAUUUUUUCCCUUUUUCUUUUUAAGUUUUCAUUCAGUUUUUCACAAUAGUGUUUCAGGUUUUUAUAACUUGGUGGCCAUCAGGGUUGCUAGUAAAGCACCAUCUAACUUAUGUUUGUGCGGUGCUAGUUGUGUAUUUCAUUUAUCUUAGUCUGAAUUGAUAGAUAGUCUUGGACAUCAUGAGAACAGUCUUCUCCUACUUAUGUUAUAUGAAUUUGAUUUCUUGAGUUUAGGGGGGGGGGGGGGGGGGGGUUGAUUGUGCACUACUCGUAUCGGAGUGAUUCAUCUAGCUAGCUUUACCAAUGGACAACCAUGUUCUAAGUGCAAGGAACCGUAGAUGGAAACAUGUUUAUUUCAUUUAUACAAUACAAGUAUCUAACGUGUUUCCCUGGUGUUACUUGUAGAGCUCUUGGUGGAAGCAAUACAUGAUUUGAGGAGCCCUUGAGCUAUAUAAUCUCUCUACUUGGGUACUGAACAUGCGGUGGCAAUGCCUAUGUCAUAUGUGACAAGCUUCUGGAAAGGGUUUUAAGUCAUAGAUUUAUUUUUAUUUUUUUUUUGCAAAACUUAAAGUCAUAGUUUUUUAGUGUUCAAGUUUUUAGUGAAGAGACUCAUUCCAUUUUUUUAUAUAUAUCUGUCAACAAUUUGUGGAUGGAGAUGAAUUCGUGAUGCAUGUGUUAGCUUGUUUUGAUUUGGAUAUUAUUAGGUUCCUGAAUCAAACUUUGCACAUGAAUGUGCAUCUUGGGGAUUUUUUUCGAAACAACUGUAGGCACAGGGCAAAGAUUCGCAGGCACAGGGCAAAGGCCGAGCUGGUUGAACUGACUAGCCUGGUCGACGUACGUGUAUGUCCUUACCUGCCAGAAACUUUGUUCGUGCUAGAGCUCCACUGCACGCAUCUUAUCAUCCAUGGGAAAAAUGUUUCCAAACAGCAGCAGAGAAAUAACUCUGUCCGUGAAAUCUCCCCCUCGGGUGGGCAGGGGAUUAGCAUGUCUAAAAAAAAUCCCUCCCCCUCUUUCUUCCCUGGGUUUGUUACCCUGAGUUGCCAAAGUAGGCCUGAGCGUUAAUGGGCCUCCGGGUGAGGAGGGAAGUAGAAAACAUGCUGGAGCCUGGAGGAUAGGUAUAUAUACGUUUUGAUUUUAUUAUUUCUCUUUUUUCCAUCCAAGAGUUAAAAUAUAUACCACCGGCACUAAAUUUUGUAGAUGUAUGUAUAUCAUUUAUUAGGUUCACGAACUUUAGAAAAUGUGUUCCUGAGUCACGGGCAAGUCUUAUAUAGGCGUCCCAGACCGGACAUCCGGUGGCCAUUAUCAGAGCUCCGGAAAAUAGAUGUGCAGAAUUAAGCGUGGCAUAUUUCAAAACCGGUAAAAUCGCGAACCUAAGAACAAAACAAACCCUGAGCUUUACUACACCUGUAAAACAGAUAGUACCCUUUAUGAUGAUGCCAUUGCCAUGAUACAAAUUUACCAUCCAUCACUAGUAAAUAAAUAAAAGCAGCAGGGCAUCCGCUAUCUUAUCGUCAGCGUUGUCAGCGAUUAGAAUGUAUCCCUUCUGAAUCUUCUUCACCAGAUGCGUUCCUUCCAAGUCGGCUUACAAAUACAGGCUCGUUCAGUUUUCUGGUGCUAAUUGUCGUCCUCGUCCAUGGAUUCUUCCUCCUCGGGAUGUAUAUACUGUUUCAUGUAUUCUUCCUCGAUCGUCUCCUUCAGCAAAGUUAACCUCUGGAUGAUCACCGGGUCGCUCAUCUUUCUCGCAUCCAUAAAAUCCGUCUCCUCCUUGUUGAGAUGGUAUGAAUCGAGCAGCAUUUUGAUCCAUUUGUGGAGUUCGUUGGGAGUUCUGCAUGCAAAGACCCGAUUAUGCCAAUGCAUAGAAAGCAUCUUUACUAUCUUAUCACAACCUUACCUCAAAUAAUAUAUAUACAAAAAAAAAGAUCUGCUCAAAAAUAAAAUGGCACCCAUUUUAUUGGGCACCCAACUGACUUGCUUUCUAACAAGAAAAAUGGAGUCUAUUCUGGCCUUCAAAUUUCAGCCUCCGUUUGAAGUACGAACAUUUGUUCCACAAUGAAAAUCCAAUGCAUAAACAUAAAAAGAAAAUGUUCCCAUAACCAUUUAGCAUGCAUAGUUUACAUGGACACACAAGAAACUGAAAAUAAUAGUUAAGCACCAAGGCAGUCCCAAACAUUAACUAGUUGAGCUAAACAAACUUAGAUAAGGGCAGCAACAAUUGUGAAUUAUUAUUAUUUUCUUAGGUAAAAUAUUAUAAUUUCCUCAUUAAAAAUUACUUUCUGGGUUCCCAGGAUAUUACUCUGAUGACAAACCUUUUUUUGGUAACACAUAAGGAACUUGAUAAGUUAUAAUGUUAGCAAAGCAUUUAGAUAACAGAAUACAGAUCCAUGCAGCCAAUUUUAUAUUAUACAUGCUCAUUAAGAAUUGACUAUCUCAUGAGAGUUCCUUUUGAACAGAUGACAUAAUGAUUGGAGAAGCCAGCUUAACACUUGAUAACAUUAACUGACAGUUAAGUGGAGCAUGUGACCAGAAAAAAACAUAAUUUUGAGGAUAAUAAACUAAUCAAAUUCCCCAUGGAUCAAUCCAAUCAACUCAAAUAGUAGCAAAGGAAAGGAAUUAGUCUACAUAACCUUGUGCUGUUUGUCUACUUAACCCCCUUAACUAUGAGCCAGGUCGAGCAUCCCAAAAUAUUUGAACCAUCAAAAUAACCAGUAGGUGGUUUUGCUCAUGUGGCACAUCACAUUGACACUGAUGUGCAUGUGCUAGUGACUUAGUGAAUGAGAUGUUGAUCGUCCUCAUCAGACAGAGAGAUGUUGUCAUUGUCUUGGCUGCACAGAAAGGGGGCUGUGGUUUGGUGAAGCUUUGACAUUUCUCAGUCUACGUUGACAUGGUGUCAUUAGUGAUAGGGAGAGGUGAAGGGACUAGAGGGAUGGAGAGAGUAAGACACUGAAGUGUGGGUCUAGAGUGAUGUGGCAUGUGGUGUAAGUACAUUUUUUCUAUGCCAGCAUGCCACAUCAGUAAAACCGCCCUCCAAAAGGAAGUUAUUAUGAUGGUUUUUGAAAAAGUUAGAGGGACUCAAUACCUGGUUUUAUAGUUUGGACGUCUAAGUUGUGAAACAUCAAUACUUGAGGGGAUUAUGUAGACUUAUUCCUAAAGGAAAAUGAGGGAACAAGAACAGCUACAUGUCCCCAACAAAACUGAUAUGCCACAUCAUGAAGACUUUUGCAAUAAUGAAAUCAAUAGAGACAACAAACAAAUAUCUUUGUCGAAAAACUCUUACGUGUAAAGAGCAUCUUCAUCCUUGGUUUCACACUCAUCCCCGGGAGAGAAAGCAGUUGCAAGAGCACCAAAUCUCUCUUCAGGGUCUUCAAUAUUCAGCAGAUACUUCAGAAGCUUCAUCUCCGGAGGUGAGAUGUUCUUGAGGCUUUCUUUUGUAGUUGUAUAAAUAUGAUACAUUAUGUCCUUGACCUAUGCCAUGGAUAUGAAUCAGAAAAUACUAUCUACAAGGUUUAAUCACUAAUUUUAUAAUAGUGUCAUUUACCAAUUCAAAAUCUUAACCAAUGUUACUUACUUUAUCAUACAAUUAGUAAGUGCCAAAAAGGUUUGUCGUUUUAUAUAACAUGUUGGUGAUUCAGAUUUCAAAUAUGAUUUUGAAAUAGAAUCCACUUAGGUCUUGUUUGGCAGAAAUCUAGCUCCAAGAAUUCUUAGAGCUGAAUACUCCUAGCUUCAGAAAUCUGUGGAGUUGGAGUUGGGUUUUCCUAGCUCCAGACUCCACGAAUGUGGGUAAAGUUUUCUUUGCCCUUGAGGGCAUGUGCUCUCACUCUCCUACUCAUUGGAUUCGCUUUGAGAAGUGUGCAAACACACAUCUCAAUGCGAAUCUGCUUUGAGAUGUGUGUUUGCACACUUCUCAAUGCGAAUCCAAUGGGUGGGAGAGUGAGGGCAUAUGCCCUUAAGGGCAAAAAAACCGCGUUGAUGGGUACAGGAUACACCUGAAUUGUUUGAUUAAACUGCUUUCUACUCUAGACAAAAAAAAUUGUCUCAAAGUUCUUGAUUGUAGAAUACACAGACUAAACAGAUCUGAGCUCAAACCUGGAGCUGUGCCAAACAACUCAUUUGGUAUCACGUAAGCUAUGAUUACAUUUCAGCACUUGUAAAAGGCAAAGGCACAUUAUUACUAUAUUACAAUGAUGCAUGGAAAAACAUUGUAGAAGUACCAGAAAAACAAUACUGGUACUGAAGACAACAAUUUUUAUUUAGUUAAAAAGAUGUGGAAGAUUAGUAGACUCAUCUAGAUUAACUGUACCAUGAUAUUUGCUACACUUAGUCAUGUGUACAUUUUUACAAAGGCUAAAUGAAUCCUAAUAAGUAUUAUGACGAAUUAUAUGUUGUCAACUUUCAUAACAGACUUUUUUUUAAUGAAAAAAAACUUUCAUAACACACAAUAGAAAUCAUUAAACAUUUGCCUAUUCAAGGUUUACAUAAAACUAAAAGUUCAAAAAUAAUAUGUCAAAGAGAAUAUAAAGGAAACUGAAUCUUUGUGCAAAUUUACCGAACAAUGAAGCUGUGUGAUAUUACAUCCACUCUCAGGAGACCAAAAUGCUAUGUUGCAUUUAUUAUACAUAUAUACCAAAUUUUCAUCACUUCAUGCCUCACUUCUGCUGAAGCACAGAUUGACAAGAUGGCUAUAUUUCUAGCCUCGAUGGUCUAUAUUGUUUGAUAGUACCACAGUGGGCCAAUCAGCACAAUAUCUUAAUGGGUUGAGUGUACCACUGUACCAACAGCCCAGGUGGCCAAAAAUGUAGCAAUAAAUCAUGCUUAAACACAGGAAAACUUAUACAAUUUUGUUUAUAUUUCAUUAAGACUAACCUUAUCAUUCAUAGUUGUAGAUUCUUUUGCAGCAGCCCAAGCUCUGUUAAUGAGAAGAAUUAGAGAUGAAUCAAGUUCUUUAGCCUUGGCUAAGCUUUUUAUCUCGUCACAAGCACCAUCUAGUGAAGAGGAAUUCAGUAUAUCAUCAAACUUCAACUGAGCAGAUUCGAUGUCUAACUGUUCUAGUGUGCAGUCAUAUGCAUGAAUUGCAGAUAGGCAUUUGGCCCCGAGCCUGACUACUCCUGCAUAAUAUUAAGAACUAAUCAGCCCAUAAUAUAAAGUACACCAUUCAGAACAAUAACUACAAGUAAAGUAGAUACAUUUGCCUGCCAAUUCACACGACAAGAAUUUGGUACUAACCAGUAACCACAUGCUCAUUAGAAUAUGUUGACCUUGUCAACCAACCCAGAGCAACAAACAAGACUAAAAAUAAAGACAAUCUAGUGAUAACUUCUAUGUUCUGCUUGCAACGCUUUUUUUUUCUUCUGCAAUUUUGGUUAACCAAGAAUCAUGAUCCAUGUGCUCAGGAAACAAAGAAUCAAAUUCUCAAAUUUGAUCUGUUUCAAUAACCAUAUUAUGGUGUGAUUAUAUGUUAGCGGUUCACCUUGGUAUGAAUCAAGUAAUAAAGUGUGAUAUGUGAGUAAAAAUUGAUAGAAGGUAGGUAGUUACCGUCUCGCUCGUCAAGGCCAUUAUAAGCAUUCACAAGGAAAUUAAGAUGGCGGAAGAACUCCCCAGUGAAAUCCUUUCGUCGUCUUGCAACAAUAGCAUUAAUAUCAGCAGGGUUCUCACUGAGCUCAGUGAACAGUUCCAUGUGCUUCUCUAUUUCAUCAUCUAUCUGAAUCAAAAACAUGGAGAAUAUCCACAUAGUUAUGAGAGCAUCUAGAUAUUAUUUUGGUUUGAUUAUAUUGCACCUAAUCUGAUAAUAAUAUCAUGUAAUCUUAAUACAUGGAGUUCUUAAGGUUGAUGUGACAAAAAUUAUACUGGGAACUAUGAAAGCUCGCUUAAAAGGGUGAAUGUACGUAAGAGCAUCUCCAAGAGAUUAGACUAUCUCCAACAAUGGUCACCUAAAAAUCUAAAAUACAAGACCCAUUUGUCCUUUGGGUAGCGCUACAGGUAAAAAGUUCCAUAUCUAUUUUUAGUCUUCUCCAACAACAAGACCUAAAAGACAACACUCUCUGCAAAUAGGUCUCGAGGAGAAAGGAUACCCAAAUUUGGGUUAUGCCUCUCCUGAUACCCAAAAUGGGUCUUCUGUAUGGGUACUCUGUUGGAGGCUAUAGGUAUUGUAUUGGAGACCCAUUUUAGGUUUGGGUUCCCAAAUGAGUCUCCUGUUGGAGACAGCCUUAGCCAAAUCAUUUUCUAAAGGUAUAUUUUGUUAUUGUUGAAGGAAAAACGUCUCCAAUAGACUCUGUAAAUGACACUUCAAAUUUAGAAACUCUCCAUCCUACCUUAUUCGCUCUCUACUUUUGGAUAGUCUAUCUCACUAGUCAUCCUUUAUAGACUCUGUUGGAGUACUCUAAUAUCUUUUUGUCAAGUCUAUUUUAGAGAGUAGCUAAAUUAGUAAAUUUGGCUAGUCUUUUUAGCUAAUCUUUUGGAGAUGCUCUAAGGAGAAUAGAUAAUGACUUACCUUCUUAACUUUUCUAGCAAGUACAACCAACUUUUGUUUCACUGAAGGAUCAGUUUCCAUAUCUAUGCGCACUUGGCAACGCUUGUAGAAGUGCUCUCUAUACCUUCGCCACUCCUCUCUAAACACCAAUAAUUUUCUCCAGUCCUUUGUUUCUGGUUUCUUAUACAUGAAGAACUCAAUGAAUUUGUCGCAGAUUUCAGUCAUCGUGUACCCCAUUGCAACUUCAGCCUCAGUUUGGUCUUUCACAUUAGCAAUGGUUGGACUAGCUACACAACCUGUAAUUAAAUGUAGUUCAUGAUGUAGGGCAUAUUUUUCAAAGUUAUUACGCAAUGUUAGCAUGAGUGUUUGGAGCAUACAAACAGAGAGAAAGGGGUAUAUGCACCUAGUAGAUCAAAUGUGUCAUUUGAGAAGUACGCUUCUACUAUUUGCAAAACUGGGGGGAAAUGAUAAUCUAACUCAAUAAAUGUCCCCUUAACAAGCAUAAAUUAGUCAUAAGAAGAAAAUUACCAAUUGAGUCGCAAUAAGAUCAGUCCCUAAACGAUUUUGUCAAUAAAGCAUAUAUAUACUCCGAUUAUUUUGAACUUAGUUCUAGUUUGAAUCACUUAUCCCCAAUUCAAAAUUUCGUAAAAAAGAGACCCGAACCUCCCAUAAGAUUACCUUAGUGGAUUUGUUAAUGAACUUCUUUCCCUAUAUUUACUGCUACCAGAUUUGGGCCCUAGUUCUAAAAUUUGCAAGGAUCAGAUAUUCAGAUUCCAUAUCUUGUAUAAUAAACCGAAGCAGACCCUCAAAUACUUGGAAUUCUCGCUAAAAGAACAUCGCAAUUGGCCUAAGAAUAGUUGCGCCUCUUAGCGAAAUCCCGUCGGUGCUCAGCAUUCAGCAACAUCCAACAUGCCAUUAUGGGAAUUCAUCGAAUACGUGUAAAGGCAACACAAAGUCGCCACAACCUACCUACACGAACUGUCCGAGCUAGGAAAAGAACCCGAGUCUUACAGAAUAGUCACUCCACAGUUCGUCGCCGCAGGUUGCUUCUAUUCUAUGUCCCCGCAAAAGCCAAGCGCAACCGAUUUGAUUCACCGCUGACACUAAGCACCUCGCGACGCGAGCAAGCGAACCAGCACACGACGAAUUGACAGGAGAGAGAAAGAGAAGGAAAAGAAACAGAGAAAGGAGAAAUGGAUUUGUGCCUUACGUGGUGGUGGUGGGGCUGCGGCGGCGAGGCGGAUGCAGCGGGUAGCAUGCGGAAUGGGUACGGAGGCAGAGGAAGACUGCGUGGGGGCGGCGGCCAUUGGCGCAGGCGAGGGGCGGGGAGCGCGGCAGAGAACGCCCGGGGCCGGGUUCGUCGCCAUCGGUGGCAGCACGGCGAGGCGAAGCGAUUGGAGGACUGUGGAUGGAUAAAGAAGCAUAGUGACGGGACGGGAAUAGUAGUAACUAUGACGUGGCUUGACGGGUGAAUACGGAGACGUCGUACCUGGCAGGGAUGGAUCUUAUAUAUAUAUAUAUAUAUAUAUAUAUAUAUAUAUAUAUAAAUAAAAUGUAGUAUGCGUAUUCAACGUCAAUAUAAAUAUCCGUAUUCCACAUCUGUAUUUAUGGUAAUAUAGAUGCUAAGUGAAUAUAUAGCGACUUCUCUUCAUCCGAUUCCACGUCCGCAUUUGAAAUUAUCCAUAUUAACGAAUAACAAAGUGUCCGGUAAAACCAUCUAAAACUUACAUCUAUAACUAAUUAGUAAUUUAUAUAAAUGAUACAAGUUUUAACAAAAAAAGAUAUUUAUCAUUUAAUCUACUCAAACUUACCUAUAUGGCUAAUGAAGUUAAAUUAAUUUUAUUGUUAUUAAUGGCAUAAAAAGAUUAAUUUUAAUUUAUUUUAAUAUGUAUGAUCAUACUAAUUUUAAGUACUUUAGUUAUUCAUAUAGUGAUGAAUUUUUUAUAUAUAUCUAAACUUAUUUAUUGAUAGAUAUUUAUCUAUAGUUUUAUUUAUUUUUAUAUUUUUUUUUCUUCUAUCGUUGUUAUAUUUUAAACUCCUAUGUCGAUAUGAAUAAUAAUUUGGUUCUACUUGAACUAUCGAUAUAAGCAAAUACAUAUGUGUCAUCUCAGAUUUUCAAGGUGUGAAAUGCCUUCUACACCAACCUGACAUUCAAUUUCCCUCCACCUCUGAGUCUUAUGAUCAUUUUUUGUUUCUUUAUCACGUAAAAGGUUUGUAUGUUUUAAUAUUAAAAAAGAUAUUUAAUACAACACGCCUUCGCGGUAGAAGAAUAGUACAUAUGGCGAUGCGAAAUUUUUUUGAUUUCGCUAUUGUAGCACUUUCGUUUGUUUGUGGUAAAUAUUAUCUAAUUAUGGACUAACUAGGAUCAAAAGAUUCGUCUCGCGAUUUACAGGCAAACUCCUUCAUGGCAUCUCCAUGGUCCAUGGAUGACACAUGGUGCAGAGGUUGAGUGAGGAGGGCGACGCCUAGUGGUACUGCUCAAUCAAGGCCUUGUUUACUUCUAAAAAUUUUUGCAAAAUAAGAAUAGUAGCAUUUUCAUUUGUAUUUGACAAAUAUUGUCUAAUUAUGGACUAACUAGGCUCAAAAGAUUCGUCUCGUCAAUUUCGAUCAAACUGUGCAAUUAGUUUUUAUUUUCAUCUAUAUUUAAUACUUCAUGCAUACCUCUAAAGAUUCGAUAUGACGGGAAAUCUGAAAAAUUUUACAAAAUUUUUGGGGAACUAAACAAGGCCCAAAGGGUUUUUUAUUUUCCCCAUAACUCAAAUCCCACAGCUGCUUUUUUAAAAAUCACGACUCAUAACUAUUUUAAAAAAAAAACCACAGCUCAAAUAAAUAGAUAUAUUGUUACUACAUUAGAUACUGAUCAAAUCGAUUUGUUUUUUCUCAAUCACGCAAAAGGUUUGCGCGUAUUUUCAUUAAGAAGGAGAGUUUGAGUACAAGCGAGGCGGUUUACAUAUGCAGGAUCGCUCUUCCUCGCAGCUCAGUCUAGUCUAGUCUAUUCUCUGAACUAGACGCCCGAGGUUCUUGGCUCCUGCAGAGAUCCAGAGCUCGGCCUGUCCUCUGAUCGUGUCCUUAACCGCGCUGAGCUGUGUGUUUGCUCUACGGAAGCAUCUAGCGUUCUGUUCCUUCCAUAACUCCCAGGCGAUCAGGGCGAGAAGGGAAUCUGCUCCUCUGGUAUACUCCGAUGGCCAUAAGCCUCGCCAAACCUCCCACCAUUCGACGAUGGCCCCGGCAGGCUGCUCCUGAAUAUGGCACCCUAGUGCUGCCGCAACGUCAACCCAAAGCUGCCGAGCAAACGGGCACUCGACGAUGAUGUGGUCGAUUGUUUCGCCCUGCUGGUCGCAUAGAUAGCGGGCGCUGCGGGCUUCCAACCCGUGGCGCCGUCGUCGGUCCGCCGUCCAAUGUCGUCGCCUAAUUGCCAGCCAGAGGAAGAGCCUCACUCGCGUUGGCGCCCAAACUUCCCAGACACGAACACAGCCCAGUAUGGGGUGAGAACCAAGGUGCAGCGCCUGGUAGGCUGACUGGACGGAGAAGCCGCCGUCUGAAGUCCAGCGCCAAAUCAUCCGGUCCUGGUUUCCAUUGAGAGUGAUUCCGUUGAUUGCGUGCCACAAACGCAGGUACUCGGCUGCCGCUGGUGCAGUGACGCCGCCGCCGAUGGUGCGUACCCAGUGCCGAUCCGGUAGCGCCUCGGCGACUGUCAGUCAAUUGGCGACCCGCCUGGGGACGAACUUCAGGAGUGUUGGCGCCAACGUCCUGAUCGACACACCGUCAAUCCAGCUGUCAAGCCAGAACAGCGUCCCUCUUCCGUUCCCGACGAUGGUUUGUGUUGAUGCUCUGAAGAAAUCCCGUGCCUCGGCGGAUUGCUUGAGCGGCAGCUCUGACCAUGCCCGCGAUGCGUCCGAGCUCUGGAGCCAGAGCCACUUGACCUCAAAUGCCGUGUUGACCAGUUUGAAGUCUGGGAUGCCCAGCCCUCCGAGUUCCUUUGGCCGAGUGCAUGUCUUCCAGGCGACCAUCCAUUUGCCUCUCACAUCUCCAUCUUUCCCACACCAGAGGAAUCGCCGGCAGACCGCAUCGAUCUCCGCUCGCGCCCAGGGCGGUAGACCGUCCGCCAUCAUGCAGUAAGUGGGUAUGGCUGCGAGGACCGAUUUUACCCAGAUCAAGCGCCCGCUCUUGGCCAUGAGAGGUCCCUGGCAGGCGGGCAGCCGGCGAGCGACGGCGUCGACCGUGCGUCGCACUUCGGCUUUGGGAAGCUUUGUUGUGCUUAAGGGCAAUCCCAGGUAGCGGAUAGGGAACGGCGCGACCUAGCAUCCAAGGAUCAACUGCAGGUCGGUGAUAGCCUCGUCUGCUCCAUAAAUGUUCGUGAUCGAACACUUCGCCAGGUUGGUUUUGAGGCUCGAGACCUCCUCGAAUAUUCCCAGCAAUCCCUUGAUGGCUGUGGCUUCGUCAGCGUCCGGAUACGCGAAAAGGAUGACGUCGUCUGCGUACAUGCUGCACUGGAAUUUGAUUCCAUCAUUGUCUAGGCUCCUGAGCACGCCUUCUUCUCUAGCUGCUGCGAAUAGGUGGCCAAGUACUUCCAUGGCGCAAAUGAACAGCAGGGGGGAGAGGGAGUCUCCCUGGCGCACACCUCGCUGGUGUCGAAUUCGCUUGCCUGGCUGUCCGUUCAUUAGGAUGCUGGAGGACGCUGUGGUGAGGAGUGUGGCAAUCCAUCGCCUCCAGCGCACCCCGAAACCCAUGGCCUGCAGUACGUCCAAUAAGAAUGGCCACAAGACAAUGUCGAAUGCUUUGGCUACAUCGAGCUUCAACAGUAUCUUGGGUCUCUUCUUCUUCCGCAGCAUGACGGCAGCCCUCUGAAUGUACUUGAAGUUGUCAAGAAUCGACCUGCCACGGAUGAAGGCGUUUUGUUCGGGUGAUAUAAGUGUAUGCAUUUUUGGAGCAAGCCGAAGUGCCAAGAUCUUCGAAAUGAGUUUGGCAAAGCUGUGGAUCAUGGUUAUGGGCCUGUAAUGGGCAGGUUCGCAGGCUUCCGCUGAUUUGGGCAGUAGCACUAUUAGUGCUCCGUUCAACCUGCCGAAUGAUCUGCAGUCCCCAAACAGCACGGCGUUGAUACCCCAGGAGUGCUUGUAGAAGGCACCAGUAUAACCGUCCGGCCCCGGCGCUCUGUCCGGCGGCAGCUCCUUGAUUGCAUUCCAAACCUCCUCCUCUGACAGCGGCUGCUCCAGCGCCUCCAAGUCCUGGGCCUCGAUUCCGAUUGCCUGGAAGUCGAUUGUCACAUCACUCUGACCUGCCGUGCCGAAAACUCCCAUGAAAUGGUCGUGGAUGGCUUGUUCCAUCUCCUUCUGAUCAGCGGUGAACGCUCGUUGCACCCGGAGCCGGGUGAUCAUGUUCCUCCGUCUUCGCCCUCUGGCCAUCAUGUGAAAGAACUUAGUGUUGGCGUCUCCAUCUGCCAGGAAGCGCACUCUGGACCUUUGCCUUGCAAUCGUGCGGUCCAAGGAUGAGAGCCCCAAACAUUUGUAUUUCAGGUCCGAGCGCAGCGCACGCUCUGAGUCGAUGUGCUGGCGCGUGUCACCAAUCUGAUCAAGUUUGAGGAUUAUUGUCCGAGCCAUCAGCAGCUGUUCUCGGAUUAUUCCAAUCCGCCGUGCCGCCCAGCUCCUGAGUUCUCUUGCUAGCUUCCUAAGCAAGAAGUCCAGGCGCACGAUCGGGUCCAGGAUAACCUCGUCACAUGUCCAUGCCUGCUGUAGCACCUCUUGGUAAUCCGCGAACUUCGGCCAGAAGGCCUCAAAGUGGAAUCGUGGCUUGGGAUGGAUCGCCAAGUUCGUUUGCAGGAGUAGAGGGCAGUGGUCUGAAGCGUCAGACGCCAGGGCUUGAAGGUGGCACGCUGGGAACAUCCCCUCCCAAUCCAGCGACACCAGCACGCGGUCCAGGCGCACGAGGGUCGGGUUUUCGCGUUCAUUGCUCCAAGUAUAUCUCCUGCCAUGUAGGUGUAUAUCAAGUAGCUGCAGGUUUGCCACCGUGUGCCUGAAGGCCCGCAUCAUGCGGCGGUUGAUGCGGGCGUUGUUCUUGUCUUCUUCGUCCAGGACUAGAUUGAAGUCCCCUGUUAUUGCCCAUGGCCCGGGGCAGUGGUGCCUCCAGUUCUUCCAGGAAUAGGCUCUUAUCGCCGUCCUCCUGAGGACCGUAUACGACUGAAAGCCACCAUGGAUCCCCACGGUUGGGACGAUCUUGACGGUGCACGAAUAGCAACCAAUGGUCGGUUCCUUCAGCUCGACCUCUGGGAAUCGCGCCGCAAUCAGAAUCCCUCCCCUCGUGCUCGCAGCGGGGACAUAGGCAAAGUCUCUGUAGUUAUUGCCCAACAUAGAGGCUAUGAGCCAGUGGUUUACAGUGCUUAACUUAGUUUCAACUAAACAUACAAUGUGCGCACGAACAUCAGCCGUUAAGGUUCGGACGUUGUCGCGACGGGCUGUGGCGUUCAGUCCGCGGACGUUCCAGCAUAUGACAGUUGUGUUGGCCAUAAACGUGGACUACUGGAUGUGGGCGGCGGCCGGUCAUGGUCUGGACCGUGGCGCCCGACGGCGCCUCCGGCUAUGCCCAUCGAGACAGCCGACAGGGAACAGCUCCCAUAGAGCUUCUUCAUCCUCGGGGUUGCCGCUGAACAGUGCUUCGAACUUUCCUGGUGCUGACUCCUCGUUGAGCGCUGAGGCAUGGCCGAGCCGCUUGAGUACUAGAUAUUCACCACGCUUGGCCGUGGGGAUUCUGGACAGACUUUGCGCUGCGAUCCGGCGGCUUCGCUUGAUGUGAGGCCUGGGCGUUGUCGAUUCCAUUGGGGGUGGCUUGCUGAGUAGCGGUGAGGUCUUGGCUUUCUUGACCCUACGCGCGAAGACCUUGAACCUCUUCUGUGCCGACGGUGUGCUCUUUGGCGUUGCUGCUGGCUUUGCUCCUAGAGCAUUGCGCCCAGGUGUGUUCUAGUCUGCGCCCUGUUCCGAAUCCAGCACCAGGCUCUGCUCUCGGUCCUCCUCCGCCAGUUGGCCGAUGGCCUGUUCGUGGUGGCCCCCGUCGCUACGGGCCGCCUCCGUAGGCUCCAGCUCUGGUAGGCCCAUAGCGGGUUCGGUCUGCUUGUCUUGGGCUUCCAGGAAUGGAAGAUGGGUUGUGCUGCUGAGCCCAAUCUUCUCUGGGGGGCUGUGCACGCGACAGAAGGCGCCUGGGUGCAGCAUCGUGGCGCUGCCCCCAGCGCGGCCACCUGUGUGUCCCUGGGUAAGAGCUCCCCCGGUGCUCCUUCCCUGGUCCCUGUGCCCUCCCUGAGCACGUCAUCGUGCUCACUGGCGAUUGGCUGUACCUCAGAGGUGUCAUCGUGUUGGUGGGCCUUGCACUCCAUCUGCAAGUGAACAGUGGUCAUCUGCUCUUGCUUGUCUUGCUCUGGCAUUGGAGUGGCCACGAUGGACGUGCUGCUCUCUCCCUUCUGAUAGGUGGCAGCGGCGUUAGGGGCAGGUGAAGCGGCAGCAAUCGAAUUGGUCGUCGUGCCGCUGCUUUGCUGCCCUGCGUCCGGUCGCGUCUGGGUCUUUGGCUGCCAGGCCGGUCGCAGCGGCUGCUUCUUUACCUCCUGCCACUUCUGCUUUCUCUACUUUGGACCACGCUGAGUUUGUUGUUCGAAACAGAUCCUUUCCUUCGCCGGUACUCUUGGUUGGGUGUUGGGACCCACCCUGUAGAUAGCUGGCACCCGUUGGCGUGGUCCACGUGUACCGAGCCUAUCGUGGACCGCCACCCUCGGUACCGCAUUCGGGCCCACCCUCUCGGUGGCUGGCACUCUACGUCGCGGCUUCAAUCCAGCUGAGUGCUGCCUGCCAUGGUCGGCAAUGGCGUUGCUCGUCGGCGGCGUGCCGUCCGGCGUCCCGCGAUGGCAGGGGAAUGGGUGGAGGCGCACCCCAGCACCCCUGGCGUCGCGGUGCCGCUUGCGGUUCCGUCCUUCCUCUGCCGGGUCGUCGGAAGUGGAACUGUCGUCGCUGCUGGUCGGUGGGUCGAAGUCGCGAACGCUUCGGAGGUGGACGAUAACCUUGUAGCGCAGCAUGUCUUUCUUGUUGAGGAAUGGCGUCGUACCUCGGAACCGAAACCCUUCACCCUGGAUGGCGUCGGCCGGCGGCUCGGCGACGCUGAGCCAGAUGAUCUUGGGCAGAUUGCUCGGGUUUGCAGUCCACGCCGUGAGCUUGUAUGCAGACAGGUCGUUGGCCACCGCAGUGACCGCUUCCACCUCCUGGAUCCAGCAGUACGGUGCUAGGAUUUUGGCCACCGUCUCUUCGCGCCAUACGUGAGGUGGCACUCCCUCAAGCUCGAUGGUUAGUUUGUAGUACAGCGUGGUCAGAUCGGCGUUCGCCACCCGCGACCAAGGGAGCAGGAUCAGAGUGGAGACUCCGAACGGCGCCGGCGAGGUCGCCAAGACACGAUCUUUAAUGGCCUCCGAGGCGCACAGCACUAUGAAUCGCUGUGGGAAAAACUUCUUGACUCGUAUGUCCUCCGCUCGAACCCCGGCGGCUGCCACCAGGGCGAGCAGCACCUCUGAUGUGGUGUGAUGUCCCGGGUCGCCGCUGGGUUGCGCCACGAGCGCCAGUUGCAUACAAGCUUCGGCACUGUUGAUGGCGUCGUCCCUCUGGAUGUAACACUCGGCCUCCCACGGCUGGAACGCCGGGUGGUCGGGUGGUACUCCGUCGGCGAACUCAGAGCAGGGGUCCUCGCAGGAGUCGUCGAGGAUCCGCGGGCGCGGGCGGUCUGGCGGAGUGACCGCCCUCUCGGCGGCCGAUCCCUGGGGUGUGGAGGAACCGCCCCGCCGGGCGCGGACGAAACGGCUGUCCGGCGCACCUCCGGCGGCAGCUAGCACGGGCGGGCGCUUGCAGUCCUUGGCGAGGUGCCGUGGGCUGCGACAGCGUGCACACAGACGGGGGCGGUUGCAAGUUGCGAUCUUGUGGUUGAACGACAGACAAUUGAGAAAGCGGCCGUCAUACUCCGGCGGGAUUCCACGCGGCGGGGGCGUGCGCUCCUUUCUCUUCCGUGGCGGUGGGCGAUCCUCGUCGCGGUGCAGCACCAACUGCCAACCGUCGCGGUCCGGCGUCGUGGCCCUGCGCUGCUUGCCCAGCCGACGGUGCGUGGUGGCUCUCUGCGCCGCCUGCGAGCCCACACGCUGGGUGGCCGGGAUCCGCUGGCCUGGCGCGGCCGCCCCUGCCAACUUCGCCGUCUGCGAGGCCGUGCGCCCCUCCGCCUCGCCCUUGAGUCGGGCGAUUGUCCUCGCGCGCCGCUUCCGUCGAGCCUGGGUCUUGGAGAGGGCGCCGUGACUCGCCUCGGCCACGGUCUCGCCCGGGCCUUGGCUGUCAGCUGGCGCACCCCCAGGCAAGUCCGCCGGCGAUGGCGCCUGCCUCGGUGCGCCCUUGGUCGCGGCCUCGAGGUACGACGGCAUCUCCGGCGAGGUGUAGUCGAAGUCGCUGUCGCAGUCGGAGUCGGCGGAGUCUGCCCCCCACCGCUGCGACUUGCCCCGUCCGACGGACUUUUCCUUGGGGAAAUAGGGCUUGGCGUCCGGCGAGAGGGGGGAGGGCGAGCGGGGGUAGGGCGAAGAGGGGGGGGGAGGGCGGCGGAACCCUUACCUGGUGCCGGCGGUGAGGAGGUGGCUGGCGGCGCCUGGGUGGCUUCCGCCAGGCUGGUGGUGAGAGCCAUAUCAAUUUGUGAAGCCGGCUAGCAGGCCUUUAUGCGCUGGCUGCCGAGCGGCGACGGCACUGCUUGCGUGGAUCCACGUCGCCGUCCAGAGGCAGAGUACGGUCAAGAAUGGCCAGGAAUCUCAUGGACCCUCGUCUAAACUGCACUUAUGGGAGCUUUGGGGCCUCCAAACACGUUUAAGGCUUAGAAAUCCACCACUCUGAACAAUGAAGCUUCCGGACCAGAAUCCAUCACGUUGCUCAAAUAGCUUCAGAUACUCCAACGAAGGUAAGAUUUGCAAGGCAGAUAAAUCCUCGCUGUUCUGACGGGUUGCGAAGAGCUUCAACUUGUUGACAUUAUCAAGCUGGCUUAGGCCUUGUUCAGUUCUAAAAAAAAUUUGCAGGCAAACUUUCUAGUUCCCCCGUAGUUUGACUGAUGUGAUUACACACGGAGCCUCUAAAAUACUUAGAAACUCCUGACAGACGGUGUAUUGACACAGUCUGAAUAGGAUUACAACUCAUUUACGACAAUUUUACAUAAGUGUUGACACACUGCAGCAAUCAAAUCAUGUGUACGUGGACUACGGAGAAUAGCAAAAGAGCGGAGCUAGUGGUUAAAUAAACUAGGAGGAUUCCCCACGCGUUGUUGUGGGUAUGAAGAAGAAAUAUAAAUAGGUUAUAAUGUUAAUCAAUAAGAAUCGGGAGAUGUAUAUCUAUGAUGUUGGUAAUAUAGUAAUAUAUGUUCAUAAAUGAUGUAGUUUGCUAAUGUGAAUAGUUUGAAUAAAAAUAUAAUAUCAUGUUGUAGUUAGAUGUAUUAGUGGAUGUGAUGUGGACACUUUGCAUGGUGAGAUAGUUGAAUGUGUUAUGUGUUAGUGGAAUGUUCUAGCUAGUGGAUGCUGAUGUGGACACUUUGUAUGGCAAGAGAAAUAGUUAGUGGGGUUUAUCUUUAUAAGAGAUAUAUAGAUAGAUAACCUACAAUGGAUAUGCUUAUUUUCUUUUGUCAAAAACCAUAUCAUUUCAGCAUAUCCUUUAAGGACCAAUAGGCACCUGCCUAAUAGGAAUAAUAGUUUCGAGUCCUUAUUAGUUCUAGAAGUUGAGUUAACACCUAUUGGGUUACGUUGUUAUGGUAAGUUGAUGACACACCACUCAAAAGGACUAAUAAACAUGUGUAGAGCAAUUUGUAGCAAAAUGUGGCUAUAAGUCACACUCAAUGCGGUUGGGAUGACCCUGUCAAAAUUUCCUUCUUUAGUCAUUGUCGAUCUUAGUACGAUAUUUGCGCCAGAAUGAGUGCAAUGAACCCGUCACAUUGAUGGAGUUCAGGUCUUCAGGAUACUUAAGCCCAACGCCCCAACCACUGUUUUAUUAGUUCUGAUACUUGCUUUGUGAAAGGACAGUCCUUGCAAAGAUGAGUUGGAGUCUCCGGUUUUACCCCACAUAAUUUGCAGAUUGGAUCGUGUUGCCAAUUUCGUUUGUUUAAGUUGUUGGCGGUGAGGAAUUUUUAUGUAGUAGUGUAAAGCGGUAUUUGGGCUCAGCUUUGGCUUUCCGUUUUGGCGCGAUUUUUUUUUUUUUUGGCUGAAUGUAGGCGCUCUGAGCUGUGUAUUCUUCGUGUUCCGUCCAUCGCCACGUGAUUUUGUCUUCAGUGUUGGGAGUUAAACUGAUCUCGCUAAUAAUAGCCUCCCAAAGCCUGACGUACUCAACCACCUCUUGUUGUGAUUUUUUCGAGAACAUGCAUUGGCACGUGUUUCAUUAAGCAAAAAGUUCAGAGCUGACAAAAGGUAAUCCCCAUAUUACCAGACACACACUCACACAAGGAAAGAGACAGCGAAGAAGACAAAACCAAAUAGGAGAAAAAAACCAAAGCACUACAAAAGCACCACACAGAUCAACCAGAGCGCCGAGCGUCGAGAACCCCCAGCGGUCUGUACCCUGCCGCGAUGCAGAGAGCAGCCUCCUCCAAGAUGAGUUGGGCAAGUUGCAGCGGUUGCCGGUUGGUUGUAUCGAAUAUCCGUCUGUUCCUCUCCUUCCACAAAUUCCAGCCAACCAGAAAGAAUAAGGAGUCAAAACCGCGCCUCAGCUCCUUUGGAAGAAGCUUACGCGACGUUGUCCACCAAACCAUAAUCCGUUCCUCCUGCGCCGGGACUAGCCUAAGCAGGUGGAACGCCCUGAGACAGACAGUCCAAACCUCCCUGCUGAAGACACAUCCCAAGAUAAUGUGAUCUAGAGUUUCGGCUCACUGAUCGCAUAUGAUGCAUGAAUUUUGAUCCUGCAGCCCAUGUCGCCACCGCCUGUCUGCGGUCCAGCAUUUACCGUGAAGGGCAAGCCAGAAGAAGAACUUAACGCGAGGUGGCGCCGAAGUUUUCCAGAUCAACGCCGCCCCCAACGGCUUAGAGCAGCCAAAAAACAUCGCACCGUAGGCGGACGCCGUCGUGUAGCGCUGGCUGGACGUCAGGUUCCAGGAAAAGGUGUCUGGCGUCUCGGGCGUCAAAUAAACCUGUUCAACUGCCCUGCAUAGCUGUACAAAUUCAGCAACCAAUCUCAACGAGCGUGGCCCAGUGAUAUGGCGCACCCAAGCAAAGUCCUGAAGCGCCUCAGCCACCGUCGUCCCCCAGUGGCGUUUAGGAACCGCCGCGAACACUGUAGGCGCAAGUUGACACACCCCGGAGCCUUGCAGCCAGCAAUUGACCCAAAAGAAGGUGGAUUCGCCACUUGCAACGGUCGAUGUCGUCAUGACUUUAAACAGGUCCAGCACUGCCUUCUCCCCCUGUUCUGGCAACGGUGCCCAGGAACGUGCUUGGCCCACCCUGCGCAGCCAGGGCCAGCGCACUCUUAGGGCAGUCCUUGCUCUCCUCAGGUCAGCCACUCCAAGGCCGCCCAACUCUCGCGGCCGACAGCAAACAAGGCAAGCCACUUUGCAUUUUCCACCUGAAACUGACGCAGCCCCAACCCAAAUGAAGCCUCAGCGAAGCUUAUCAAUACAAUCAAUCGCCCAGGGAGAAAGACAGAGAGCGAUGGACAUGUGCACGGGGAUUGCAAACAGGGUGUUCUGAACCAAAGUCGUCCUACCGGCUUCAUUUAGCAAAUUUACUUUCCAAAGUGGCAGUCUGGCAACCAACGCGUCAAUGAGUGGCUGCUGUCUCAGCUUGAAAAUAGAGAGAGGGAUGCCCAAGUAGCGACUGGGAAGUCCUCAACCCUGCAGUCUAGAAUCUGACGUACCAAAGCAAUGUUUGCUUCAGAGCAGUGCAGGGGCGUCGCGACACUCUUGUCCAGGUUGGCAAAAAGACCCGAGGCAGCACCAAAGAUCCGGAGACAGGACUUCAAGGCGUGCAGGUCCUGGUCCAAGGGUGCUAAGAACAUGACCAAAUCAUCAGCAUACAAGUUGACUCGCUGUACCUGACCAGCCAGCCCAAGCUUCGCCAACAUGCCAACAGAAUCCAGCCAAGACAGUACAUGAUUGAAGACCUCCAUAGCGAGCACGAAGAGCAUUGGAGAAAGUGGAUCCCCCUGUCGUAACCCCCUAGCAUGGCAGAUUCUUCUACCUGGCACACCAUUAGUGAUCACCUUCGUGCUUGCUAUGCAAAGGAUAGCCGAAAUCCAGUUUCGCCACCGUCUACCGCACCCCAUAUGUUCCAGAACCUUAAGCAAGAAAGUCCAGGAAACGAAGUUGAAGGCUUUAGCAAUGUCAAUUUUCGCACAAUGCUAGGGAUUUUCCUCGCGUGCAGAACCUUGCAGGAAAGGCGUACCGUCCUAAAAUUAUCUUGUAUGCAGCUACCCUUAAUAAAGGUGUCAGGCCAUUUGUUCCCAUCCGAUGUUUUGAGCAACGUGAUGGAUUCUGCUCGGAGCCGCCCCUUGUACCCACCUAAUUUUUUUUAGCCACUUGGAAAACUUAUUGAUUUAUCAAUUAAUUACUUUUUGAGCUGAGGCUCUAAGCAUACAUAUCUUGACCAAACACACACACGACGACAGUGAAGGCUGUUGUGCUCUCCACAUCCAAUUGAAAGUUGAAAGCGAUACAGUACCAUAUAUAUUAUUUCUCUCUUGUGGAAUGUGACUUGCAAAUAGUUUGGCAUGCAAGAUGCAAUGGACAGAGCCGAUUGAGACGCGCGGUGGACCCUGUUUGGUAGAAAAUCCAUGUGCUAGCUGCUGGCGCUCACCAGAGAUUCAGAGGAACGUGUCAAACUGGCCGGCCGGCCUUGAAUUAUUGGGGAGAGCACAGCACAGCCACAGGAGCGGAUCAACGACUGCGCAAGCUAGGAAGAGUCAACUCAACUGAUCAGCCACACGGGCCUUCGUGUUUGUGUAUAUACUGGGGCCGGGUUCCUCUUCCUUCUAAUCGGCUUAUUAUCGCCCAUGGAGGUGAUGAGGUGAUGUACGUAAUGGCGACCACCGCUUCGAAGGCCAUCAUGGGCGUCCUCGCUGAGAAGCUCAAAGCUCUUCUUGGCCGAGAGUAUGAUCUCCAGGUUGGCGUGCAUGACGACGUCAAGUCUCUCCAGUCCGAGCUGGAGUUCAUGCAUGCCUUCCUCCAGGACUACGACUACGCGAGCUACCGCCACUACCUGCAGCAGACCACCACCAGUGCCCAAGACAAGGUGUGGGUGAGGAAGGUGCGGGAGCUUGCGUACCAUGUCGAGGAUGCCAUCGACGACUUCACAUGUCGUGUUGGCCCAGCUCCGAAAGAGAUCCCAGACAUGGUCAAGCACUUCGUGUACACGCUCAUGGCUCGCCACCAGAUCGCCAAGCAGCUACGCCGCCUCCGACUUGAGGCGCAGGAGUUGAGCGAGCAGCGCGCGAGGUAUCCGCCAUUGGGCACUCCUCCAAGCUCCACUACUACCGUGCAAUUGCAAUGGCAGUUGCCGCCCCCGCCCGAUGAGACGACGUCGACCAACCUGCUGGUGGGAAUCGACGGACCACGGGAUGAGUUCAUUGCCAACCUUACAAGUGCUGCAAGAAAGCAUGGAUCUGGUCGCCGCCGUGUUGCUUCCAUGGUUGGAAUUGCUGGCGUUGGCAAGACAACCCUGGCCAAGGCUGUGUACCACAGCCUCGAGGACUCGUUUCAGUGCCGAGCGUUCGUCACUGUGUCAAGGAAACCAGACCCUAGAAGGGUUCUCAAGGACAUCCUGCAGCAGGUCAUGAUUACCACUGGGAGUGGGAGUUCCCCAGCCAUAGCUAGUAUGGAGACAUGGGAGGACAGCCAGUUCGUGGACAGGCUCAGAGACAACCUCAAGGACAAGAGGUUUGAUUCUGGUUCACCACCUAGCCUAGCUGUACCUAUUCUCUUCUUUUAUGAUCGAGUUUCAGUUGAUGUGUAGGGACUAGAGACGCUCUGCAAUUCCCUUAGUUAAUUGGCCUAAUUCGUUGGAUUACUGAAACAUCGAUUGUCUGGGAAGGUUCAGUUCAGAUUAUUGCUUGAACAACAGCAGGGAGUUACAGCUGGAUAUGAUAUAUGAAAUAAUCGGACUAAGUUACAAGCAAAUCCUGCUGCAUCCUCUACAAAAUGCUUCUAACCAAAAAUUAAUUUACUACUUCUUAUAAGCUGUGGCGUUUGCUACAAGCAAGCUUGCCGCUGAAUGCAUAUGAAGAUUUAGUACUUCAUGCUAUUUGUAGGAUUAGUAACUUAAAAGAGUUAAUCUGUAAGCAUUUCGGUUGAUUUUUUUUUUUUUAGAAUAAGGAAUGUAACAUUCAGGCCUCCGCCUCCAACGUUCAUAAGUGAAUGAGUUUUAUAGCCGCUUACAGUAUAACCCAUAGCACUUAGACUACGCUCCACCAAUUGAUUUUUUAUUGAUGUUUGUGUUGCAAUGUUCCUAUUUGUUUUUUUUACAACAAUGUUCCUAUUUGUUGAACAAUUCGAUUCAUCCGCACAUGGAUAUCCUUAAUAUGUUAUACUUCGAUUUAUAGUUAGUCAAAUAUAUGAUUUCUUUCCUUUUUGCUCAUCUAACCUCUGUUACGAUGGGAUGCAAUUAUAGGUACUUGAUCAUCGUUGACGACCUAUGGGAAAUACCAGCAUGGGACCGUAUUAGCCGCGCUCUCCCUGACAACUCUCUUGAUAGCAUGAUUAUCACAACUACUAGAAACGAGUCUGUUGCCAAAGCAUGCUGUUCACGGCAUCAUCCUGGUCAUUUCGUGUAUAAGGUAGCAUCUCUGAAGCACCUUGACUCAAGGACAUUGUUUCUUCGUCGAACUUUUGGCUCCGAAGAUAAUUUCCCUCAUGAUUUGGAAGAAUUGUCAACGAAAAUCCUGAAAAAAUGUGCUGGUUUGCCACUGGUCAUAGUCUGCAUAUCGAGCAUUUUGGCUACUAAAGGGAAAGAAGCAACAGAAUGGGAGAAAGUGUACGACUCCUUAGGAUCUGGAAGCAAUGAUGGUCUCUCUUGGUUGUGGCAAGCAUUUGAGGUUAGUUAUGAUGAUCUUCCUCAACAUCUCAAGGUCUGCCUACUGUAUCUUAGUGCAUUUCGAGAGGACUACGCAAUUAGAAGGGAUCGAUUAACACGCCGAUGGAUUACAGAAGGAUUUGUAGAUGAAAAACCUGGUAUGAGCAUGCAGGAAGUAGCCGAUAACAACUUCACUGAACUAAUUGGCAGGAACAUGAUCCAGGCAGUGGACGUUGAUUGUUUUGGUGAAAUUCAUGCAUGCAAAAUUCAUGAUGUGAUGUUUGAUCUCAUCACCAAGAAGUCAUCUGAAGAGAACUUUGUUACAUUCAUACAUGGUAAAUCCACAUCCACGCAGCGACAAUUUGUCCGUCGGUUAUCUCUAGACUAUGGCACCACAACAGAUGAUUUAGACUUGACAAAUUUCAAUGUGACUCAUGUUCGAUCAUUGACAAUUUAUGGGAACAUUAAUAAACUUGAUUCUGUUCCACUUGGUAGAUACCUAAGGAUGUUGGAUUUUGAAUGCUGUGAAGGUGUGAACAGUAGACACCUGAAGGACAUUGGUGAGUUAAUCCUUCUGAAGUACUUGAGUCUUAAGAGUACAUGGAUCAGUGAGCUGCCCCGGCAAAUUGGUGAUUUAAAAUGUCUAGAGACCCUGGAUUUGACGCAAACAAACAUAAGAGAGCUGCCAGUGGAAGUUGCCCGGUUGCAGAGGCUGGUACAUUUGCUUGCUGGUGGUGCAGAGCUACCACAAGGUAUUGGAAACAUGAGACCUCUACAGAUAUUAUGCAUUAGGGUAGCCUGUAAGAGGUCUAAGGAAGCUGUGAAGGAGUUACUUAGAUUAACCAAUUUGAGGAAACUAGACAUGACCUAUGUGCACCUGAAAGGGAAAGAGGGAAGAAAGUACGAAGAUGAGUGUGUGAAUACUUUGUCUUUGAUAAUGAGUGAACUCUUCAAGUGCAAGCUCCAAUCACUGCAUUUGAAUUUAUUGGGAAAUUAUUCUAUUAGUUCAUUCCUACGAAUCUAUCUCACUCCAUCUUUAAUCACUUCACCACCUGAUCAUCUUCAAAAUCUGAGAAUAAUAGGAGACUACGGUUUCCCUUACGUGCCAAGGUGGAUUGGAUUACUCAGUAAGCUCACUGAUCUGGAACUAACUGUCAGAACUAUGUUGGAGAAAGAUGUAGAAAUAGUUGCAAAAUUAGACAGGCUUGUCCGAUUCCGACUCACGGUGAAAGAGCCAUCUACAACUACAAAAGGCAUCAUCGUUCUGGAAUCCGGAUUUCCUUGUCUCAAGGAGCUAUUUAUCAGUUGUAGGAUCAUGCCGGUGUCCUUCAAUCAAGGUGCCAUGCCCAAACUUGAGAAGUUUGUGUUACAGUUCCAUGCUUACCAAGGAGAUUCAAAACGUACUUGCCCAAGCAUUGAGCAUCUCAAAUCUCUUAUUAAGGGAUUCCAAUUCAGAAUAGUAGUUGGCAAGGGUCUCAGUCAUCGUGAAGUCAAAGAUUUAAAAAAUACCUUCAAGAGUGCUAUUUUCAUAUAGCCCCCCUGCAGAGUGGAGUACUGGAGUAGCGGCAGUAAACAUGGAUGGGUAAAAAUAAAUAGCAACAAGUAAGAAAACAUCACAUUCCUUGUAUUGUAUCAACUGAAUUAGCUUGUAUCCUGUAACAUGAUAUCCUACUUUCUUUCUUGAAUAAAAGUUAUGUCGGCAUGUUCUGUGAAUUUUGGUACCUAAGUUCCUACCGGUAAAUGUAUAUAUCCUUAAUUCUAGAGAUAGAGAUAUAGACAUGAGAGUAACUACACGCGCGUGUAGAAAAACGCAUCAUAUAUUGUCACACCCUGGUUUUUAAAAGAAGACUAGAGUCGUCAUAUGUGUCCAGGAAGUCCACACAUAUAACAAAAGAAUAGAAAUAUCAGAAACAAUGUUAUAUAUAGCGGAAAACAUAUUUGUAAUAACACUUACAACUAUCAUAGUACGCGGAAACAGUAGCUAAACUUCUUAGGCUCCAUGGCUGACGGGGGGCUCCGUACGCCAAGCACUUCUGACAAGCUUCUAGAAACUCCAUGACAUCUUUGUCCGUCUUCUGAGGUGUGGGGAAAAUAGUAAGAGUGAGUUCAUGUCGAACUCAACAAGUAUAGGCGGAAAAUAUAAUGACAUGCAAGACUUAAUCAAAGGAAAAAAGCUGACACUGUUUAACUGCAGGUGAGCUUUUUAAGUUGACAAACUUUUAUUAUAAUCUCUUUUAUUUAAACAACCUAUUACUAAAUAUGAGUAAAGCAUCCCAAUCCGUAAUAGAUGAAAGUAAAUUAACAAUAUUAUUAGUCACCAUUAUAAUUAUUAUUAUUAAGAUCUCAGAUUUAGCAACCUCGGAUAGUAACUCGGGGUAGCAACCCAUUAAGAUUAUGGGAUAGCAAUCCCAAUUAAAAACACAGGAUAACAAUCCUGCCAACACGGAAUAGUCAUUCCGCCAAAGCACCAACCUAAAAAGCAAAGAAAGCCGAGGAUGGUGGUUGCGUGAGAGCUGACCUUGAUGGAAAGGACGGCUAGGGUUUCCAUAUUGGUGCAUGGGAACGAAGAGCAGACAUGAUGGGCACCAACCUAGGUCUGUGUCGUCGUCGGUGCCACCACCACACUGGCCAUGGCACUAGGAGCCGCCACCACCAAAGCCACCGCCCUAGGGGCCGUCGCUGCCAGGGCCAAUGCGGCUGUCUGGGCCAAUGCGCCACCCACGCCGAGGUUGGCUAACCCGAGCUAAAAACCACGAGCGUAGACAUCGGCGAGUGCCGGGAGAGGGAAGCUGCGAGAGGGAGAGGGAGAGGGUGAUAGGAGCGAGAGGGAGAGACUGAGAGAGGAAGGGGCGAUGGGAGCAAGAAGCGGAGGAGUCAAGAGAAAUAAUGAAGAAAGGUUGGACUGAAAGAGACGGGAUUUUUGGCCACCACACGAUCCCUUUUUUUUUGCUGGCCGGGACGCCGUACAGGACACGGGGGCACGCCAGCCUCCUGCCGAGCUUAGGCGUCUUAAUAAGAGUAAAUUUACGGUUUAUCUUUCUUUUCCUAUUUUUUUUCUCUGCUCGUUACAUUUUUUUUACUAUAAGUAUUAAUACUUUUUAAUACUACUUCCGUUUGUGUUUAUUUGUCACCAAACUUUCACUGUAGCAAUUUUGACGAUAUUCUUUUUUCUAAAAAAGAUUUUUAGAUACAUCAAGUUUUCACAUAUAUAGUUCUUUAUUGAACAUUCAUUAGUGUUAUAUAUAUUGAAGUAUCUAAGAUAUUUUAGAAGAAAAAAAAGAUGAUCAAAUUUGCUAUAGUAAAAGGUUGGUGACAAGUAAACACAAACGGAGGAAAAUAUAUAUUUAGUUAAAGUUAUUUCUUGGAAAACAAGAACAACAGACGGAGGGAGUACUUCCCGUUCACAUGUUUGGUUUCUCGAGAAAUCAAACUUUUUAAAAUUUGACCAAAUAUAUAUAUAAAUAGGAAGUACACUAAUAUUUAUCAUAUGUAAUAUAUAUUAUUAGGUUGAGCAUAAAAUAUAUACUUUCAUAAUAUAUUUAUUUACAUAUAUAAAUACUGAUAUUAUUUAAUAUAUUUCUAGUUAAACUUUAAAAAAAUUGAUUUUUUGGAAAGGCUGCAUUUACUUAUGGACGAAGAAAGUAUGCUAGUUGGUGACACUGACACCUGCAUUAUCAUCGUGGAUUCCAAGGAUAUGCAUAGCGAUGCAGCUAACACAUACCCCAGUCUUAUUCAAUUUCUUUUACAAAUUAUAAAAUAAAUAAAUCAUUACUAAAUAAUAAUAAAUUAAGUCAUAACAAAAUAAUCAAUAUUUAUAUAAAUUUUUUAAAUAAGACAAUUGACACGAGAUCCAAAACAUCACUUUCAAGGGGUAGGAGUAGCAUUGAGCUCCAGAAAAAAUGCAGAAACUAUAUAUAAUAAAUAUACAUCCCAAAAUAAGUAUCACUUUUAGGAUUCUUGAAAGAGAUGAAUGUUAUUUAAAAGUUACAUAUUUACUCAUCACAAGCUAUUUCAUCUAAUAAUUGCAUUUUGGGCAACAAUAUCAUCGACCGACUUGUCAGAUUGGUUAGUACAGCUAUAAUGCAGCUCAAUCUUCAGCAACUCAGACUCCAAAUAAACAAUUUGUAAUUCCUUCUCCAUAGCCUUAUUGCGUAAACCUUGGAGCUUUGCCUGCAAUGAAAGCUACAAAAUAAUAAGCAUCAUUGGAUUAUUUGCAGAUUAUAUUUUUAUAAUAAAUUAACUUAGAGACAUAAAUGUUAAUAAUAUUUACUAUAUACUCGAUCAAACUUUAACUUUUUUGAUCGGGACAUAUCCCAUAAUUGUAUUCUUUUAUGGACGGAGAGAGUAUCUAGAUAUAACAGAUUAACAAUAUAUCUAGAUACUUAGAAAAAUUGAUGUGCCAAACAAGUUAGAGCGACUUAUAAUUUGUAAUGAAGGGAGUAAUUCAUACACAGUUAUGUCAGAUCAACUGGGAAACAAAACCACACAUAUCUUGUUAGUCUGAAAUAGAUAUUUGUAAAAAUAGUUUAGCUAUAUAUGGUACUGACUACGUCUUCUUAGUGAAACAUAUACUCUGAAAUACAUAUUUUUAGAAUAAAAUUAUAAAUUGUUAAAAAAAAGCAUCAUGAUUUAGUCCUUAAUUAAGGUAGCAGAAAGUAAGGAACAGAAAUUACUGGAAAUCCCAUCUCAUGUUUGUACCAAAAUAAAAAAUGAGAGCCUAGGAGUAAUAGGCUAACUAACAUUAUAAUAAAGGUAGUAAGAAAGAAUAAAAAAUACACGGAAGAACUACUGGUCUUCUAAGGAUAAAAAUAGGUAGCUGUAAUAUAUCAGUGUAUAUUUGCGGUGGAAUUCUUAGAAAACUACAUGUUUUAGCUGCAAACACCAGAGUAAAUUUGGUAGAAAUAGUAACAUAAGUUUUAUUAAUUGAAUUAAAUUCAAAACUGUAGUAUUCCAUAUAUAUUACAUGAAUUUGGAAUCCAAAUAAAUUUCCAAUAAACUGCAUGCGGACAUUGUGCUCAAAUGCAAUCCAUUUGCAUCCAGGGCAGAAUGAAACUGAAUGACUAUUCCCUUGUUACCUCUUCUGACACGCUCUCUGUGUUAUACUUGUCAUUCCAGUACUGAGUGCAUAUUUCGUAGUGCUGCUACACACUUAGUACGUGGACAAUACCAUAAUAGAUUUAGUGUGCAUGAGUGAGAACAUGAGUCAUGUGUGUGACAGAGAGCACUUACUAGGCAGAGUCAUUGACAAUCUUAUCAUAUGCAAUCCUGAACUUUUUGAAUAUGAUCUAAUAUAUCAUAUUGCUGUAUUGAAAAUUCAUUUAUCAGAAUUGUCAUAUUGAGAAUUGAAUUGGAAUAUUGAACCAGCUGAUUACCAAAAAGCAAUAUUGAACCAGCUGAUUGAACCAGCAGGUUGUCAUUUAUCAGACAUGUACAACCUAAAAGCAAUAUUGAACCAGCUGAUUACCAAAAAGUAAUAUCAGGAAAAAGGUAACUAAUAUAUUAAAAGAUUCAAAGAAAAAUAUAAAAUUCAUGCUGAAUAACUAUUUUCAAUAAAAAAACAGGCUUAUGCAGCAGUAUAAUCUGGUUGCAACAAAUGCAGCAGGUCUACACUACAACUUAGAGGAGCUAAUGUACUGUUAAAAAGUGCCACUUUAAAUCAGCUACAAAUCUGAACAUUUGUGCAGUAUAACAAUUUCAUAAAGAUAUAUAGAUCUUAAAUAUGCAUAUUACCUCAAAGAAAUAUCAUUUUGAAGAUAACAAUACUGAUAGACCUAUGUCACCAAUAAUAAUUGAAAAUACCACGCAGGAUAAUUGAUAAAUAAACUCAUUAGAUCUAAAAUAAACAGUUCUGCAAUACAAAAAUAGCAUUCAUAUUGAACAAAAUAAGCACAUCUGCAACCUACAAUUUUUUUUAUAUCUGCAAAAGUGGUAGUAUAAAAUGAAUGUUGGCAAUUAAUAGAUGGCUCAAGAAAAACUUUUAAAAAAACUAUCUGAUACUAAAUAUGUGAACUCCUGAUACGAGUAAAAGAUACUAACACACUAGACCUACACCACCCAAAAAUGGGAACUCACGCAGACAGUAGACUUGAAGCAGGAUACAGAACUAACAUCUAAGAAAUAUAAUGUUGUUGUUUGAAUUUAGAUUUCUAACGACAAUUAGUAGACCCCAGUCUAGAAAGAUGUUGUAUUUCAUAUAACAUAAACAUGACAAGUCAGAUGAAUAAAAAGAAUGCAAAAUGACAGUGCAUGGGAGGUUGAGAAGAAAUAGAUUGCUACUGAAAAGUGAGUAGACCUAGGGAUAAUAAUACGAUUUUGGAACUAAUAUUAAUGUCAAUAAUUCCUGCACGGACACCACCAUUAGGACACCAUUUUCAGUACAAAAGUGCGGAUCUGACAUGUGAGUCAAUAAACAUAUAUAUAUUAAACAUGAGAUGCAUAAGAAAUGAGACUGAAUUUAUUUCCUAAUUUCCUACACAGGAAUUUUAACAAGAAAACAAUAAGCAAUGUCAAACUAUAUUUACUAAUUAGUGUUUUUUCGACUGACAAAGAAGCUAAAUGGAUGAAAUUAUGUGGAAAGUAUACUAAGUUAAGGAUACAUGCUGUUAAAGCACACACACAAGUUCUGCAUUGCCAGGAAGAAAUAUGAAAUAUUACUGAUGGUAAAAACCAUAUUCACUCACGGUAAAAACUGCAGUGUUUGAACUACAUACACAGAUUUAUGUCCUCUGAAGUGCAAGGACUAUCCAGACGAAAAGAAUAGUGAAAAAAACAAACAAGAAUCAGUUCUGAAUAAAAAAGCGAGGAAGCAAGAACUCAAUAGGAAAAACCACCGACCACCGGAUGCAGAUCCAAACGAACCCAGGCAGCAGCAUGCAGAUCCAGUCCACCACGAAUCGACCCAGUGUGAAUCGAACAAGAAAAUUAAAGGAGCAGCAUAUAUUAUGUUAGAAUGUUGAAAAAAACCAUGACCGAGCUAGAAGUGCAUCUAUUUAGUGACUUAGAAAAGAAAAGAAUAAUCUAGGGGAGAUGAAGGAGCACAAAACUGUCGACCAAAAUUCUGAAGAAAAAGAACAAAAUCAUGUAGAGAGAGUGAGAGUGAGAGUGAGAGUGAGACGAGUGUCGGAUUCGGAUCUGAAAGAGAGAGAGCGAGAGAGGGACAGUGAGAGAGACGGAGAGAGAGGGACGAUGGGAGAGAGACACCGAGAGCUCUGUAGAGGGAGAGAGAGAGAGAGAGAGAGAGAGAGAACAAGAGUGCUGGAGAGAGAGGAACAAGAGUGUAGAGAGAGAGAGACCGAGAGCUCUGGGAGUGUGUGUGAGAGAGUGUGGCGACAGGUAGGAUCGGAGAGAUUGACGGAGUUUGGAACCACGGCGGCGGCUGGGAGACGAGAAAAGACUGUGAUGAUUGGGAAUGGGAACUGUAAGGCUGUUUGGAUGUAGUUAGAUUCACAUCAAUUUAUAUGUGUUGGAGUGGAUUGGAGUGAAAUUUGAACUAAAUUUUAUCUCAAUCCACUCCAACGGCAUAGGAUACACGUGAAAACCCGUGGAUAGAUGAAGGCGGGUGGUGUCCCCCUACUGACAAGCAAUUUUGACCACCGUUGAAUGCAGAAUAGGAGAACAUUCAUACUGGUAGUUCUAAACCUAUUUUUACUAGCACUUUUAACAACUACCAGUGUGAAAGAUUAAUUAAAGUCAGCUAAUUUUAUGGGCGUCAUCUAAGAACCACCUUUGUAAAUAUUUACAGUAGCGAGUGAACCCUGUAAAUCGAUUUACAAUCACCGUUGUGAAUAAGGCUAAAAAGUUAGCAAAAAAUUUAUCAGGGAGAGUCGCGGUUGUGAAGGCUAAAAGAUUAGCAAAAAAGACUCACUACCUCAGGUCUCGCGGGAUACGUCGCCCCUUACCACUGCACCCCUAAAGUCACUUGUGUGACUGAGCACGAGAAACAAUCCCUAGUAUAUUUACUCUGUAAAAUUUUCAAAUGAAGAUUUGAAGCCUUAAGCGAAUUUGAAUGAAAAAAGUUUCAACUUUGUAGUUGUAGAUCUUUUCGAAUACUAUAAUUUUCAUUUAGACCAUGUAUCCAUUUGAAAAACUGAAAAAAAAAACUAACUGUAUUUACACUGGUGGUUUAUAGUAGCGCUAGGUUAAGAAAACAGUCCGUAUAAAAUUUUUACUAACCUGUAUUUCUACUAGCGAUAGACUUAAGAAAACAAUCACUAAAUGUAUUUACACUAGUGGUUUAUAGUUUGAGCCCACAGUUUAUUUGUAAUGGCGCCUAUAUAUUAUGAACCGCUAGUAAAAAGAUUACAACCAUUAGCAAAAAUUGAUUGUGACAAGUGGAAAAACCUUUCGGUGAGAUAGUAAGAGAACCAUAUUCAUGAAAAAAGAGUGUCUGGUUAUUUUUUGUAGAAUGUGUUUGGUUAGUGGUUACUCAGAGCAUCUCUAAAAGUUUCCAGAAAUUAGUUCCCAAAAUUAAUGAGUUUUCCAAGUCGUCAAAAAGAAUUAGAACCAGCAAAGAAGGCUUUCUCCAACCGUUUCCGGCCUCUAAUAAUUGCUUGCCAAUAAUUUAUAUUUUUUUAUUUAAAAAACACUCGCAUAUAGCAACAUAUGCAAACAUACCAUACAAGUCACUACAAAAAUUCAUUAAACGAGGGGUAUAUUGGACAUCAUGUUUAGAUUUGAAAAUUUUUGGCCAAAGUGGUAAAAAUUUUUGUGGUCAGAACUUUAGCUCAAAAGUCUGACGCACGCGAAAAAUUUUAGGUAUUUAGUUUGUCAAUUUUUUUCUGACACGACUUGGGCUGCAUGCAGUUGUUAUUGGUGGGCUUACAUGGGAGUGCGUGCACAGUAGCAGGUUCUGCAGCCCAAAAUUUUUGCCCCGUUUAGGCCUUGUUUAGUUCCGAAAAAAUUUCGGAUUUCGCUACUGUAGCACUUUCGUUUUUAUUUGACAAAUAUUGUCCAAUCAUAAACUAACUAGGAUCAAAAGAUUCGUCUCGUGAUUUACAGACAAACUGUGUAAUUAGUUUUUGUUUUCGUCUAUAUUUAAUGCUUUAUGCAUGUGCCGCAAGAUUCGAUGUGACGGGGAAUCUUGAAACCUUUUUGGAUUUCGGGGUGAACUAAACAAGGCGUUCCUAGACCCUAAUUCCACAAAAAAAAAUCUUUAGACCAAAAAAUUUCAAAUCUAAACAGACCCAAGCCAUUUAUCACCAAACUGGAGGGCAAAUGCCUAACCAAAAAGUUUGAUGAACGUGAUGUACCAUCCACUAGUGGAGGACAAAUGCACAACCAAAAUGUCCUUACCCAGCCAUUUAUCACCAAACAGAGAAGCUGUUCUA